Molecule: long non-coding RNA, 50635 nt
Filed under: Sorghum bicolor (sorghum)
Lineage: Eukaryota; Viridiplantae; Streptophyta; Magnoliopsida; Poales; Poaceae
Description: long non-coding RNA (SBIC_LNC012321)
Rfam family: Plant small nucleolar RNA R71 (bases 25780-25886)
Source: RNAcentral
UGGCGAAUGAAUGGUGUAUGGUGAUGAUGGUGAUAACAACGGUGAAAGUCUAUUUCUACUUUUGUUCUUUUUAGAGGAUACAUACCUUUCUUGCACUUUGAAGCUUUUUUUAGGAGAAUGAGAUGCUCUAUAUUUUCUUUUUCUUUUCUCUCAGGUGCAUAUCUUGUACCCCUAAUUCUACUGUCGGACACUUGUCUAUUUUUACCUCUCGUCUCACUUUAUCCCCUUUUUAUUUCCUCGUAUUCACUUUUUUUUCAGAGCACUCACCCUCCUAGAAUAAUGUAGCAAGUGGUAGUAACCAAAAUAUCUCGAGCAUUUAUUUCACAGGGAAUAGCAGGGAUAGGAUGAUGUUUUUGGCUAUUCUUUCCUGGAUAGGAGUAGAAUAAUUUUGGGUGAAUCUGGAGAUGGAAAUGAGUGGAUGUAUGUGGAUGUGUACUUUCGGAGUAGAAGCAGCAUGUAUGAGUGAACGUACAAGUGAAUAUUGAUUUUAACCGUAUGACAAGCUCCUAAGGGUCUACACAGCUUGACCACACUCAAUGCUCAUAAACAGUAAAAAGUAAAUGUAUGGUUCUUAGCCUUUAUCAUAUUGAGAUUCCUCCUAAUAAAUUUUAUUUAUUUAGCAGGAUCAUGCACUUAUUAUUUUUAUAUUUUUAUUGUAAGAUGAAAACAUAUUUAGUUUGUGCCACCACAGUCAAUAUACCUAUGGGGUUUAAACCACAAGUCUACUCACAUGGGGCUUUAGAUUUUAACAUUUUUAAUUCCUUUUCAAGAUAGAAUGAUUAACAAACAAGCUAUUUAAGGAAAGUAAAUAAAUUAAGGAAUGUUGAUGCAAAACUGAUCUGCAAACACAAAGGGCUAAUACCCGAUUCAAGCGUUGAGGCGUGCCAGCCGAUUUGACCUUGCUAUCGGCAAAGGUGAUAACUCGAAUACUUUAGUCCUGACAACAGCGAUGCGCCCGGAUGUCACGGCUAAGAGGUACUCACGCGGAACUGUAGAACACGCCGAGCUUAAGUCGACGAAUUCCUAAGAACUCGUAACAAAGGGAAAAAGUAUGACGAAGUCGUCGAAAAGUAAAUACUGGAAUAUGAGUAAAAACGUGUGUUUGAUUGAUUGAUUGAUUCCUUAUUACAAGGCCCUAGGGUCUAUAUUUAUACCCUGCUCAAAGAGCUAUAACCAGACACAAUUAGAAUUUGAAUCCCAAAUUACAUGGAAUCCGUAUACAAAACGAUGCAAAUAAUUAAGGAAAUAACAAAACUAUCCCUCGUGACAAACCGAAACUCCUCCACAUAACGACCGGCAGCUUCCGGACUCCCUCUUUGCAUCAUCGGCAGACCCUUUGCCAUAGUCAUCGGCAGACUUUCUUAUCUAGCCAUCGGCACCAUAUUACUGCAUGUGGACUUAGUCACGUUCAACUUCUUUCUCAUCGGCAACCAUCUUCAUCGGCAACCCACUUCGUAAACAUCGUACUGCCACCUUAUCCUGCCAUCCUAGACACGUGCCCAAAAACGGUGUCAACACAUGCCCCCCAAUUUCGGAGUAUAAAACUAUUAAUGCUCCGAAAUUCUCUGCAGUAAUGAUGCCCUUUCCCGCAAUUAAUGCUCCUAAUCUGGUAACCGACAACCUCAAUCUGAACAACUCUGAUCCUAUGCCUCCGCAGAUUCUUCGAAAUCCCCAACUUCCUAAACGGGCAUUUUUCUCAGCCGUACAUCGGCAACCAUGCCGUUACAAAGAUCUGCCGAUGUUCUGACCAGGAUAUUCGCACAAACGGUUACUUCCCCUCUAUCCGCCCAUCGGCAAUAUGACCGUUAUAGAAUAUUGCCGAUGGACCGACCAGGAGAUCUCGCACAGUAAAAUAUCUUCAGAUAAUGACCGCUUCCCGUCAAAUUGCCUGCACAAUCCCUGGAUUACCGUGCGAACAGUUACUAUAUCCACCUGAGUACCCUCGGAUUUCUCGGAUGCGGCAAAGAGAUAAGUCGGAUUUGCCCUUGCCCAUUUCGUCCUAUAAAUAGUUCCUUCUUGGGUAUUCCUUCCCCAUCACACCAUUCUACUACCCAACUUUACUUUUCCAGCGGCGGCGCCACCAAAAAACUCCCAAGGUCUCCGACAAGUACCCCUCUUCACCAACUCCGGCGCCUUCAAACGCUUCCUUCGCAGCAAGAUGGCCGUCGGGUUCGUCGUCCUUGAGGUCAAAUCUCCACCCCGUCUUCUGUAUUUUUCUUCAUAUCCCUGUUCACUCGCAAUUCAUUUUACUGAACAUCUUCCUUUUCUUCCCUCUUUGUAUUUCUUUUUACGCCCACAAUCACUAGGAAUUGUCCAACAAAAUUGUCAUCCCCACCGAUCAACCACACCUUCAAUGCCUCGGCCCUCUAGGGGAUCCAGAUCCAACUGACCUUAUCAACGCAGAAACCAACAGGAUCCCCUUCAGAACCGAAAAUUUUUCCUUAGAUCUGUGGAAGGACACCUUCCGCUCUUGGCCCAGCCCAACUGUGGGGUGGAAAGAUUGGUUCUUGAGGGUCAGCAACUCUAAUGAAGUUCAGUGGGGUGAAAGGAAUCUAGCCCAAUGCAUUAGAUUGUCCAUUGCCGAUAUGCAUAGGAACGAGUCACUGCUGAUAGCUGCAUCCUACUUUUGGUCAGACACCCUCAAUGCUUUUGCCUUUGGCCACGGCCCUGCUUCUCCUACUCUUGCCGAUGUAGCCAUGCUUACUGGUCUAGAUAUAUCUUCUGCCGAUAGCACCCACUUUUUUGAUACUGCCCCUAGUGCCAAAGUGGAGACUCGCGCUAUCGGCGGUUGGUCGGGGUACAUUCAGAAGUACCGUGGGAGAGGAUCUGUCACCAUAAAGGAACAAACCACCUUUCUGAACAUGUGGCUGGACAAGUUUGUAUUCUGUGGUCGAUCGGCAGGACCGACUUCUGUCUACCUAUCGGCAGCAGAAAGACUGGCUAACGGUGGCCGAUUCCCUCUUGGCCGAUACUUGCUUGGCGCCGCUUACCACCUUCUCCAUCAAGUAGCCCAGAAACUUCUGCUCGGCCAAUCCACUGGCAACUUGGGAGGCCCCUGGUGGGUUGUCAACAUGUGGCUCAAUCUGCAUCUGCACAAGCGUCUCAACUUCAACCUAUUCACACAGCGUUUCCCAAGAGAUAUAGCUGAAAACCAUGUAUUGGGUGAAGAGGAAUCGGCAACACGCGCCCCCUUGAACUUUGGCGAAGCUAUCAUAGUUCUGCCUGGUUCAGGGGGUAAUCCAGAUCAGAUCGGCCGAUUCUUCCAGACUCUGUAUGAGGGUUUGGCCAGAGACGAACGACCAUGGUUGGCUUAUGAUGACCCAGAUGGCACGCUCCCUCUGACCUUCAAUCCAUUUGAUGAAGCUCUCGUCAGGGACAGUGAGGCGAUGAUGGCAAUUGUGACUCCCAGAAUCAUUCCAGUGAAUUUCUUUGGUAGCACAAAAACCUCCCCUCAGACUUACGAAUUUUACAAUCCAUCGGCAUUAGCUCGCCAGUUAGCUUUCGGCCAGUUGCCGAUUGCACUUCCUUAUGCCGAUGUGAUAAAACCCAGAGAAACUAUCAACAACCUUCUUGAGUGGACUCGAGUAGCCCAACUACCACCAAACGCCGAUACAGAUGUAGAUCUGUCAGAAUGGGUUCCGGCUGCUUUUAUCACUCAGGCAUACAAGUUAUGGUGGGCAGAUUGGAAAGAGCAUCUAUUCUGCAGAUCGGCAUUUUCAUACCGCGGCAUGAUUGACUCCGAAUACGAAGUUCCCGAUGACACUGUAAGCAACUCAAACCAAUGUUUCAUUUUCUCAAUAUUACUUCCAUUGGCAGCUUACCCUUGUAUUCCUUUUGCAGGUUGACAAUAUCCCUCCAUUGGUUAGCAAGAGUGGCAGGCCAAUUGACUUGUUUCCAUCAGGCCCGAUUUCCUCAAUCGGCCACAAUGCUCCCACUCUAGCUUCCAUCGUGCAUCGGGGUGUACGCCUCAGGAAAGUCACCACCAGAAGAACCCAGACAUCACCAACGGUAGCUGCUCCCACUCUGGCACGGGCUUUCAAGGCAAUUUGUCAAAUCUUUUCCUUUAUGCUGACUAUCUUUAUAUCGGCUAUAUUUAUGCUUAUAAACUCUUGUUCAUUAUUGCAGCAAACCGGCGUAUCGGCGAAAGCCAGGCGUGAUAGUGCCGAUGCCCCCCAGUCUAGCCAACCAAAGAGAAAGCGCACCACGGGUGCUAAGACUGGAACGAAGCGCCAGAAGGUAGCAACUCCCCCUCCUCCUCCGGUAUCUCCAAUUCCGGUGGAGUCUUCUCCUUCUUCUCCAGAAGCUCAGCCACAGCAAGCACCAUCUCCCCCACCAAUGCAGGAAGCACCACAGAUAGAAGAACCCCAGCAGGAAGGAUCUCAAACAGAAGAUACAUCAGCUGACAUGGGUGAACAAACAACUGGCCCGGUGGGUCCAGUUAUACCAUCAGCAGUUCUUCCGAUUCAGACAACCGUUGUUCCUCCUCCAGGUAACAUACUUUAACAAUAUCGCUACCGAUGAACUUAUUCUUAUUUAGUCUCAUAACUCCUUUUGUCUUCUUUCAGUAGAUAUCGUUCCAUCGGCAAUCCUAGCCGAUCAACCUGUAGCUCCAUCGGCAUCUUUGGCCGAUCAGCCUGCAGCUCCGUCAGCACUUCUCAGUCAAAGACAAAAGAUUGCCUUGAAGCAAGUAAGUCACCGUUUACCGUUAGCACUAUUUGCCGAUCCUCUGAGUAUGAGCUAAUUUUGCUUUCCCUCCCGAGAACAAGAUUCGCCCGAUAGCCUGUUCUCCUUCGCCAUCGAUCUCUCUGAAGAAGAAGGUGAAGAAGCGAGCUCUUCUCAGACGGUCGGCAUCACAUCGGCAGAGAUCAGGGUCAGGCUGGAAGAAUUGUCAGCUCUCCUUCACCAGGACACAGCGCAAUUGGUUGAUGAUUCCGACCCUACCAAGACCCUGUUCAUAACUCUCAGAGGCCAAAUCCCAGCCGAUGUUGAAGAAAUCUUGUUCCAAGCCGCUCAUCUGGAGAGUCGCCAGCUGCAGUACCAGAGAGCUUCUCGGCGUCUUGCCGAUAGAGCCGCUCAUACUCAACUCUCCGAUGAAAUGAGGAAAGAGAAGCUUUUGACCGAUGAGAAGCACAAGAACAUCGGUAUCCUGAGAUCUUCUGGAGACGCGCUGAAGCAGAAGAUAUCCGAUCUAUCGGCAAGAAAAGAAUCCCUGUUGGCGGAGCUCAAGGCAGUAGAGAACGCUCUGUCCCAAGCCCAACAGGAAGAGAGCCAAUUGCCAGAGACCAUCAGGCUUCUUGAGCACGAGCGAAAUGCUCAUGGUCGCAAGGCACUUCAACUGAAGAAGAAACUGAAGCCGAUAGAAGGUUCUGCCGAUGAUGACAUCAAGGAGAUAGAAGCAGCUAACCAAAUUCGGCUACGCGCUAUAUCGGCAAUCCAGACGCUGCUUAACACUUAGAGUUUCCAUCGACAUUAUAUCUGUGCUUUCCUGCUUCCUCAGCUUCUAGUCUAGCCGAUAGGACUGUUAUCGGCACCUAAACUUUUGAAACACCAAGUCUUGUCCCCAAGCAUUUGGAUCCAGCCGAUAGGAGUGUUAUCGGCACCUAAACUUCUAUGCAUCGACCCAUAUACUGGGGUAGUACUUCUUUAAAUAUUUGCCGUUUAAUGCUCUGGGAAAUUCAAUUCCUUCGAGGGUUUCUAGAAUGUAGGCAUUACCAGGAGCCGAUCGACUUAUCCGAUAAGGACCCUCCCAAUUAGGAGACCACUUUCCAAACUUUGAACUUUUGGUCCCAAUUGGUAAAAUUAAUUUCCAUACCAAAUCCCCAUCGGCAAACUCUUUAGCCUUCACUUUCUUAUCAUACCAUCUAGCAACUCUCUUCUUAUUUUCUUCUAUACUCAUUAAAGCUUUUAACCGAUGCCCUGCUAGAUCGUCCAAUUCAUCGGUCAUCAAAGUGGCAUAACCAUCGGAAGUUAAUUGAUCUUGAAAAGAUAAUCGCCUAGAUCCAGCCUUAAUUUCCCAAGGCAACACUGCAUCAUGUCCAUACACCAAUUGAUAGGGUGAUACUUUGGUCGAUCCAUGACAAGCCAUCCGAUAAGACCACAAUGCUUCAUUUAAUAAUGUAUGCCACCGCUUAGGAUUUUCUUCAAUCUUUCGUUUAAUAAGCUUGAUAAUUCCUUUGUUAGACGCUUCGGCCUGCCCAUUGGCUUGAGCAUAAUAAGGAGAAGAAUUCAACACUUUAAUUCCCAUACCGAUUUCGAAUUCAUCGAACUUCCCCGAUGUGAACAUGGUGCCCUGAUCGGUAGUAAUCGUUUGGGGAAUCCCAAAUCGGUAAAUAAUAUGCUCCUUCACAAAAUCAAUCAUAUUGGCCGAUGUGACUUUCUUCAAAGGAAUAGCUUCAACCCACUUAGUGAAAUAGUCAGUGGCAACUAGAAUGAACUUAUGCCCUUUGCUAGAUGGUGGAUAAAUCUGGCCGAUCAGAUCGAUGGCCCAUCCCCGGAACGGCCAAGGCUUUAUUAUAGGAUUCAUAGCCGAUGCGGGUGCUCUCUGGAUAUUACCAAACUUUUGACAACCUUGACAUCCCUUGAAAUAUUUAAAACAAUCCUCAAGUAUGGUUGGCCAAAAAUAUCCAUUCCUUCGAAUCAUCCACUUCAUCUUAAAAGCUGACUGAUGCGCUCCACACACUCCUUCAUGGAUUUCCCCCAUCAAACUUCUAGCUUCAUCAUCACCCAAGCAUCGGAGAAGAAUUCCGUCGAUAGUCCGAUAAUACAAUUCAUUUUCAAGGAGCACAUACUUGGUUGCUUGAAAUCGAACCCGCCUCUCAACUUUUUUGGAUGGAUCUUUUAGAUAAUCAAUAAUUUCUUUCCUCCAAUCACCGGCACCGACUGCCGAUGUCGCAUUAAUCAUUGGCUGAUAUCCCGAGGCAUGCUGAGCUAACCAAUUAGCGUCUUCAUUAUGCAAUCGGGGAACAUGCUCCAAUCGGACAUCCUUGAAUUCCUUUAACAGUUGCAUACUUCUCUCGAAAUAAGUUAUGAGAACUUCACUUCGGCAUUCAUAGCUUCUAGCCAAUUGAUUUAUAACCAACAUAGAAUCCCCGAAUAUCUCAACAGCAUCAGCACGAACUUCUCUUAACAACUCCAAUCCCUUGAUCAGAGCCUGAUACUCAGCCUGAUUAUUUGUUGAUGUGGCAACAAUCGGCAAGGAAAACUCAUACUUCCUCCCCUUAGGGGAAACGAAUACAAUGCCGAUUCCUGCCCCCCGGUCACAGGUAGAUCCAUCAAAGAAGAGCGUCCAGGGUACAAUUUCCAAGGUUUCCACUAGACCGCAAUGUUGAGUCACAAAAUUGGCCAUAAUCUGCCCUUUGACUGCCUUAGCCGAUUCGUAACGCAAAUCGAACUCCGACAGCGCUAAAAUCCAUUUACCGAUCCUACCACUCAUAAUCGGCAUAGAUAGCAUGUAUCGGACCACGUCAUCUUUGCAAACAACAGUGCAUUCGGCCGAUAACAGGUAAUGUCUCAGCUUGAUACAUGAAAAAUAUAAGCAUAAGCAUAGUUUCUCAAUGGCCGAAUACCUGGUUUCAGCAUCAAUCAACCUCCUACUCAAAUAAUAAAUUACCCUUUCUUUCCCUUCAAAUUCUUGAACUAAAGCUGAACCGAUAACCGAUCCAUCGGUAGAUAAAUACAAUCUGAAGGGCUUCCCUUGUUGAGGUGGAACUAGAACAGGAGGAUUUACUAGAUACUUCUUGAUUUCAUCCAGAGCCAACUGCUGUUCUUCUCCCCAAACAAACUCUUGAUCGGCUUUCAAUUUAAGAAGAGGACUGAAAGCACGAAUCCUACCAGACAAGUCCGAUAUAAAUCUCCUGAUAAAAUUUACCUUGCCGAUCAAGGAUUGGAGCUCGGUUUUGUUGGUAGGGGCCACUAUUUUAUUGAUGGCAUCAAUAGAUCUUCGACUAAUUUCAAUACCCCUCUGAUGUACCAUGAAACCAAGAAACUGCCCUGCCGAUACACCAAAUGCACACUUGUUGGGAUUCAUCUUCAAUCCAUGCUUCCUUGUGCACUCUAACACUUUUUGUAAAUCGGCAAGAUGCUUUGAGAAAUCUCCAGACUUAACCACCACAUCAUCAAUAUAAAUCUCCACGAGCUUGCCGAUGAACUCAUGAAAUAUAAAAUUCAUAGCCCUUUGAUAAGUAGCACCAGCAUUCUUCAACCCAAAAGUCAUGACUAUCCAUUCAAAUAGCCCAACAUGACCAGGACACCUGAAUGCACUUUUUGGAAUAUCCUCCUCCGCCAUGAAUAUUUGAUUGUAACCUGCAUUACCAUCCAUGAAGCUGAUGACCUGAUGACCAGCCGUAGCAUCAACCAGUAGAUCGGCGACAGGCAUUGGAUAUCCAUCCAUCGGCGUAGCUUUAUUGAGAUUCCUGAAAUCAAUGCACACCCGAAGCUUCCCGUUCUUCUUGUAAACCGGAACAAUAUUGGAAAUCCACUCGGCAUACCGACACUGCCGAAUAAACUUAGCUUCAAUAAGUUUGGUGAUUUCGGCCUUAAUAUCAGGUAGAAUGUUAGGAUUACAUCGGCGGGCUGGUUGCUGAUGCGGCCGAAAUCCAGACUUGAUGGGUAACCGAUGUUCAACAAUUGAUCGGUCUAAACCAGGCAUCUCGGUAUAAUCCCAAGCAAAGCAAUCUUUAUAUUCCUUUAACAAACUAGUCAAUUGUUGCUUACUCUCAGGAUCUAAUUUAGCACUAAUAAAAGUAGGCCUAGGCUUAUCACCACUACCUAUAUCUACUUCUACCAAAUCAUCGGCCGAUGUGAAUCCCUGGCCUAAUUUUCCAUCAUCGGCGAAUCUAUCCAUUAAAAACCGUCGUCAGAACCGACUACUUGGAUCGGUGGAAUCUCAUAAUCGGCAACUUUGAGAAAAUCUUUCUCCCAAACUUCUCCUGAAAUGCACCUGGUCCUUUAGUAAGUAUCCGCUUCUGCCGAUGCGAUAACAUAAGAAGAAUCUCCUGGGACAAUCUCAAUCUUGUCACCUACCCACUGAACCAAGCAUUGAUGCAUUGUAGAUGGGAUACAACAAUUGGCAUGAAUCCAAUCUCUUCCCAAUAAUAAGUUGUAAGCACCUUUUCUGCUGAUCACGAAAAAAGUUGUCGGCAAGGUUUUGCUGCCGAUGGUCAACUCUACACAUAUCGCCCCCUUGAUUGGAGACACGUUUCCUUCAAAGUCUUUGAGCAUCAUAUCGGUCUUGGUCAAAUCUUGAUCCCCUUUCCCAAGCUUCCGAUAUACUGCAUACGGCAUAAUAUUAAUAGCAGCUCCACCAUCAACUAGGAUCUUGGUCAUUGGCUGCCCAUCAACCCUUCCUUUGAGGAACAGAGCUUUAAGAUGCUGCCUCUCGUCAUCGGCAGGUUUCUCAAAGAUAGCCGUCAUCGGAUCCAGAGCCAACUGAGCUAUCUGAUCAGAAAAUUCCAACUCAUCAUCACUGGCUGGUGCCAGAAACUCCAUCGGCGACAUGAAGACCAUGUUGACGCCUGCCGAUGGACCUUCCCUCUCAGUGUCUGACGGCUGCCGACUUCCAGAGUUCUCUCCCUUGUUUAGCUCUUCUUGCCUUUCACGUUGCAAUCUCCUUUUUUGUGUCUUGGUUAAUCCUCCAGGGCACCAUGGAGGAAGUGGCCUUUGCCUUGCCGUCGGGCGUCGGUUCUCCCUUGACUCCAUACGAUGCGUGUUAGCAUCCCUGCAAAAUAUGAAUUCAUCGGGAACCCGCGCAUCAGCCAUUUCCUCGAGCUCUUCUUGGUUCCUGGGAAAAUACUGGACACGGUCACUAAGUCUGUCGUGCCCACUAAAUCUGCCCCCCAGCCGGUCAUGAACUGACACCCUUCCUCUGAUCGGCCCUUUAAAUCGCCGUUCAUCAUCAUGAUAAUGCCGAUCGAUCCUGUCGUACCGAUCAUAACCGUUGCACUCAGGGCAGUCUCUGACAGUAGGAAGCUUGAUAUUUUCCUCCCAACAAUGGAUGAAGAAUGGACAAUUCCAAUGAUCCCUAUGCCGAUUCCACUCCUGUCGGCGUCUUUCUUCUUCCCGCCGAUAAUCUUCCUGCUGGCGCCGAUACCGAUCUUCCCGCUGGCGCCGAUACCGAUCUUCCCGUUGUUGCCACUUUUCUCGAGGCCUUCUAUGAGUUAUGACGAUACCAGAUCGAGGAGGCCUUCCUGAGCUAGUUCCCUCCUGGACCAAGCCCUUACUUCUUGCAUCGGCAGUAGUAACUUGAUGCUGAGGAUCUACCGAUGCACUCUUCUCAGCUGUCUCCGAUGUUAAGACCUUAGCCUUCCCCUUAGCAUCCAACAUGUUUGUCGGGAAAGGAUGUUGGUCUAUCUUCAUCGGCUUCUGGGCUUUGGAACUGUCAAACCUGAUUCUCCCUGACUCUAUAGCCGAUUGCAGCUGCUGUCUGAAUACUUUGCACUCGUUGGUGUCAUGGGAAGUUGCAUUAUGCCACUUGCAAUAUCUCAUCCUCUUCAACUCUUCUGCCGAUGGGAUCACAUGGUUAGGUGACAAUUUGAUCUGACCUUCCUGAAGUAGAAAGUCAAAUAUCCUAUCAGCCUUAGCGGUGUCAAAAGCAAACUUCUCUGGUUCCUUCUGCCCAAAAGGACAAGACAUCGGCUUCUUGUUUUUUACCCACUCUGCCAAGCCGAUUACUGGUUCUUCAUCAGAAUCUGAGCUUGUUGCUUCAUCGACAAAUGACACUUUCUUAUUCCAUGCUCUUUUAGGCUCGAAAGGCUUGAUGUCUUGAUCAGAAAUCCUCUGCACCAAAUGACUUAAACUUUCGAACUUCUGAGAGGCAUACUUAUCCCUGAUAUGUGGCAACAAACCCUGGAAAGCCAAAUCGGCCAGCUGCCGAUCAUCCAGAACCAAGCUAUAGCAUUUAUUCUUGACCUCUCGUAUCCUCUGCACAAAACCCUCAACCGACUCAUCAUUACGUUGCCUCAACUUGACCAAGUCGGUGAUCUUCUUCUCAUGAACCCCCGAGAAGAAGUAUUUGUGGAAUUGCUUCUCUAGAUCGGCCCAAGUAAUUACUGAGUUGGGAGGUAAUGAUAUGAACCAAGUAAAGGCCGAUCCAGACAAUGAUGAUGAAAAUAGACGAACCCUCAAUUCGUCCCUGUUACCAGCCUCUCCACAUUGAAUGAUGAACCUGUUGACAUGCUCCAUGGUUGACGUGUCGUCCUGCCCGGAAAACUUUGUAAAAUCCGGUACCUUGUACCGAUGUGGAAGCGGGAUCAAAUCAUACGCGGGAGGAUACAGUGUCCGAUAAGAGUAAGUGUUGACUUUGGGUUUUAUCCCAAAUUGUUCCCUCAUUACUUCAGCAAUCUUAUCGGCCCAAUACGCAUCGGCAUCUUGCCGAUGAGGCGGCUGCGGAUCUGGCACUUGGUGGAGAACCUCCACGUGUCUGUUCGGGACGUGAUCUGCACGGAACAUUGUAUUGAUCACCUGUCCUCCAAUCUGCGGACCACCAAACUGCUGUCCACCGAUUGGCUGUCCUCCGAGUUGCUGUCCAAAAUUCAUUGGCUGGUUGGGAAUCCCCUGACCUUGGACCCCGGGAUAGACCUGCCCUUGCUGGAACCCUGUAGCCUGGUAACUCUGCUGGGGUGAUUGUGGGAAGGCUUGCUGUCCAAGCCAUCCAUUAUUAGCGUUCAUCGGCAUAGGUGCUGCCGAUGAUUGGUAAUUGGGUACCGUCGUUGAAUUGACAUACCCCGACUGGGCCAUAGACCUCUGUUGCAUCAGCAUUGACUCUACCGAUGCGUUGGGCAUCUGGAACAUUAAAUCUUGAGGAUUUCCAGUGUGAGGCCUUGCAGUAGUAGUUGUGGUAUACCGAGGACUCUGAUUCACCGGCGCAUUGGGAGGUGCCGAUGUCAUAGGAGUUUUGCCCCUCAUGUCGGUUAUUUAUGAUGUUCCCGGUGUCAACUCUGGAGGCAUAGCGUAACCCCACCAGUUGGGAGGAAGAGUCAACCCUGACAUUGCCGAUGCCAACAUAUCUGUUGUCAGUUUAUGCUGCCCAACUGAAAUUUGUGGGUCGGUUGUCAUCGGCAUAGAUAGUGCACCAGUAGUCCCCGAUGUACUUGGAGGGACGGCAGAUUGUGCACUUGUAGUCGUCAAGGCAGCCGAUGGAGCCGUGACCUCUGGUGCCGUUGGCUAAUGAUGGGAGGGGCCCACAUAAUCUGGUGGGAUUUGUCCUUCCUUGAAAGUUCUUGCCACGACAUUGAAAACCGUAUUAGAUAGUACACCAGCUUGGUUAAUCAACGCUCGAUUGAUGGCAUUGUCAACCAUAUCUUGAAGCUUGCCAGGGUUGGCGUCAAAGGUAACCUGCCGUGGUGCUGGCAGUGCAUCUUUCUGGACCACUUCGCCGCUCCUGUUUAUGCUGAAAGACCUCAGGCAUUGCUGCUUGAACUCUUCCAUGGCUUGGGCAAUAGCUUGCUUCUGCUCAUCCUUAAGGUUGGCCUCCGUCACGGGGAUGACGUUCUCUUGAUCGAGGUCAGAGAUCGACAUGUUGAUCUUGAUCUUGAAUCCUGUCCCACCGGGCGUGCCAAAAGAUGUGUUGAUGCAAAACUGAUCUGCAAACACAAAGGGCUAAUACCCGAUUCAAGCGUUGAGGCGUGCCAGCCGAUUUGACCUUGCUAUCGGCAAAGGUGAUAACUCGAAUACUUUAGUCCCGACAACAACGAUGCGCCCGGAUGUCACGGCUAAGAGGUACUCACGCGGAACUUGAGAACACGCCGAGCUUAAGUCGACGAAUUCCUAAGAACUCGUAACAAAGGGAAAAAGUAUGACGAAGUCGUCGAAAAGUAAAUACUGGAAUAUGAGUAAAAACGUGUGUUUGAUUGAUUGAUUGAUUCCUUAUUACAAGGCCCUAGGGUCUAUAUUUAUACCCUGCUCAAAGAGCUACAACCAGACAUGAUUAGAAUUCGAAUCCCAAAUUACACGGAAUCCGUAUACAAAACGAUGCAAAUAAUUAAGGAAAUAACAAAACUAUCCCUCGUGACAAACCGAAACUCCUCCACAUAACGACCGGCAGCUUCCGGACUCCCUCUUUGCAUCAUCGGCAGACCCUUUGCCAUAGUCAUCGGCAGACUUUCUUAUCUAGCCAUCGGCACCAUAUUACUGCCUGUGAACUUAGUCACGUUCAACUUCUUUCUCAUCGGAAACCAUCUUCAUCGGCAACCCACUUCGUAAGCAUCGCACUGCCACCUUAUCCUGUCAUCCUAGACACGUGCCCAAAAACGGUGUCAACAAGGAAAAAUGCAGAAAGGAUAAAUAUGGAUAACUACCGAUUUUACCUUUCAGCGAGGGUUCAAUGUUUUGAGUCUUCUAAACAAGACUUCUCACCGUGUUCAUUCGUUAGGUGCGUCAUUUGAUUCAAGUGUGGACCUUGACGUCUGCACCUCUUGAUACGGUGUCACCCAUGUUCUUCGUUUGCCCAACAGUUCAAAGUGCGGCGUUGGCAAUAUCCUACUCAGUGUGUUUGUGCUCGUAGAUCCAGGUCCUUCACUUGGUGGAGUCUACGAGUUGUAAACCUCCUCAUGUUUUGCUCAAAGUGUACCUGCUCAUAGAGACAAGGCAGAGAUCAAGUACAUGGGCCCUGUUGGUGAAAAACACCAAUAGAACCAAAAGUGUAUUUGUUCUUCUCUAACCUUAAGCAUAGUGAGCAAGACAAAGUUGACGGAUAAUAAGAUAAUGAGUGUAGCAUUUAAAACAUUUGUCAGAUCAGAUCACUCAACCUAAUGGAAAGAUAAUCGAUCUAUACUUAUGUUUAUUUUAUAUAUAUCUUCCAAAGAUUGUGUGUGCAACAUUUUAGGUCAUAUAAUUAGGAGUGUGGGAUCACAAAGGUGGAAGGACUAAACGUGUUGAAUCGAUUGGGUUGGUUAAUCUAGAGUUGUAAAUCAUAUAUGUUUAUCUCUUUUAUUCAUAUGAACGCCAGAACCAAGGAGAAACUUAUAAAAGUGAUAGUCAAGUACCUUAAGAUGUUACCUUACUUGAAGAGUGAUGGUACAGUACCACCUUGUGGAAGCUUUCCUUUCUUAGCGGUUGUGCACCGUGUUUGUGGCACUCUUUGUCUCGUUCCAUGGAUCAUCUCUCUAUGAUGAAUGAGCUAUGUCUUCCUUGUGUAAAUUGUUAAACUUCAUGUGUCUCUCUCUUUGUCUCUAGUGUGAGUUUAUCUCAGGACUUCCUAGGUCGAUAUUGAAAGUUUUCCUGAGGGGUUAGUCCAACAAAAUAUCCAAUAUCUACUAUAGCACACUAUCGGCUCAAAAUCAACCUAGACACCAUGUCUAAUUUGAUUUAGGAGGGCAUUUUAACCUAAGCACCAUGCUUAAUUUGAAAUCCCUUGGAAGUAUGAUAGAGAUCUACUCAAGUGGAGAUGAAGUAGUGUGAUUAGUAUUUUACAAAUUAAGCAUGUCUCAAAGGUAGGGACAACCAACAUAGCAACAUGGCAAAGGAUGUUUUUAUGUAAAGUACUCCCCCAAACUUGAAUUUUGCAAAAUUCAAGUUUGGAUGAAUUUAAUUCAAAGUUGUAUGAUGAUUGGUUGGACAUACCUUGUGCUUGUCAUUCAUCCGAUCUUCUUGCUCCAAUCCUGGAAAGGUUAGUGACAAGAAUAUCCGAAGGAAUUUUUUUACAAUUAUCGUCAUAUGCUCAAUACACAAGGUAACGUUGCAAAUAAUAAAAAGCUCAUGUUACGAUCUGAUCAGUGCUUAUUUUAGGAUACUGAGCUUGUCCUUGGGAAACCAUCAAUUUAUGUCGACAAAGUGGUUUUCCCUCCAAUGCUGACCUAUAUCAAGAUCAACUCAACGAGAUCUGCAAUAUUUAUUAUAGACAUAUGCAUCGACAACCGCCCUUUUAAAGUUUUUAUAAAUAGAAAGGAAGAGGGGGUUGGAGAUCUCAAAUGUGGUGAUGUUGGAGAGACCAAUAGAUUGGGAAGAUGUUGCAUAUGAGCAUGGAGUAAACGAAGUUGCUAUGAAAUAAAUUCCAUGCUCAUAAAUGUUAUCUUCUUCUCCAAUCUGAAUGUUCGGAGUUUCUCCUAGAUUGGUCUCGCCUAUGUCCUCUUCUGUAGUAUGAUGAAUCUCAUCUUCAAAGGAAGUCAAGAACUCACCAUUUAAAAUUGAGCCAAAGUCAGAAUCCAUUAAGGCUUCUUCCUUGUCCAUCCAUUCAAUGGUGAUAGCACAUGGAUUUUUAAUGCCCUCUAGCCACUGAUGUUGCUCUUCUCGAUCCUCCUUAUGGUCUUGGUGACUCUUAUGCAUGGGAUGUCUAGAGAGAUUCAUAGGAUCAUCAGGAGGUUCAAGAGAAUGAGCAUAGUAGAAAUUAUUAGGCUCAAGGAUGGGUUUAAAGAUAGGUUCGAACGAGUCAUCAAAAGUAGGCGUAGAAGGGAAGAAGAUGAGAUUGUCUUCUAAAUGGCUUCGCUCUCCUUCUAUUGCAUCACUUAAGACGCCAUCCUUGAGUCUUUCUAGAUGUCCAUCAGAGGGAUUGGAUUUGAGAUGCUUUCUAAGAGAUCCCUUUUUAGGAAGGUUCAGACUAUAUGCACUCAAAGGUCUCUUAUGAAGCAGGAAGUUUAAGCUCAUCCCAAAAUGAAUUUCCAAAGGUAGAAUUUCUUCUUCUCUUAGAUGAUUUUUGGAGCACUACUAGUUUGGGUUGGAUAGCCGAAUCAUGGGAUUGAAAUGUUUGGAAAUCGGCUAUUGAAACUUCCUUUCCUCAUUUGGGAGAUGAUUCCUUUUCUCUCUCUAUGUUUUUUUAUGAAGACUAGUGCAAGGGGGAUGUCCACGAAUGAAGACAUACCUUGCUUUACUAAUAGAUAAAGAAAGAAAAACUCUACCAAAGGUUAUAUUAUUAAGACCAAUGUGAAAAUAUCGAGGAAAAACAUGGUCUUGUAGGGCUAGGUCUAAACCAGAAUUUAUAGAAAGAUUAAAAGAUUCCCUAGGUGUAGCUAAAAGUUCAUUAUCUUCUUGAUUGAAAGAUAGGACCUCGGCUAUAGAAAAAGGUUGGUUUUGACCUGUUGCAAUUAACUCCAGACACAGAUCAUAAUUAGGGGCAAAGAAAGGACUUGUUGACUCCCAUGGUCCAUGGCUAGUCUCCGAAGGUGCAAAAAAUUAAAUAAUAGGUGUGGAAUUUGAGUUAUCCAUAAAGAUGGAAAAAAUAAAAAGAUAAAAGAAUAGAAGUAUAAAAGUAUAAUACAAGAUAAUAGCAAGACUCAAAGUUAUCUCAGCAAACCGUCUUUCUCCCCGGCAACGACGCCAGAAAUGCUUGUUGAUAUUUGUUAACGCCAUGAGGAAAUGAUCCGCAAGCGCGCGGAUAUCGGUGAGCACUUCACUCGGGAGGUUAUCCAGAGUAUCGUAUUUAUAUUUUUACCACUAGGAGACAGCGUGAAUCUGACUAACCAAAUCUAUUGCUACUACCCUUUAGGCUACAAACAAUAUGACUCGAUGUGAGUGAUGUAUAAAGUAGACUUCAAUUGUACCCACGUUCUAACCUUGGUAAGGAUGAUCUACUGUUCUGUUGGGGAGGCUCACGGAAUCUAGAGACCACAGAGGAUGUUCGACCCGCACCUAUAAACCCUAUCGAUCCUACUAAAAGGAUUAUGGGCUACAAAGGUAACUCGGAAAUGUCACGUUCCUCGCUACUACCACAGUCCGGCUAGAUAGGGGAUAUCUAUGAGUAUCCUAGCCCAAAUACCACGUUUACGCUAGAGAUGAUUACUCUAAACUCUACGCGAAGAGAUCAAAGUAAAUUCAUAAAACAAAGAACAAUAAAACAAAGAGCUUACUAGAAUUUAGAAGUCGAAAUACUGAAGAAUACUAGGAGCAAGCCUCUGGUUAGGAGACUUUAUCCCACAGGUACAACCUCAGAGUAGACACCGACAAGCCGGGCUUCCUCCGAUCUACACCUCCACUCUAUCUCUCUCAAUCUAGUAGAAAUAAUUCUACUCUAACAUUGGAUGCUAAGCCCUAUGAUGUUGGAACCCUAAGGGAACCUCUCACUCUGAAUCCUCUCUGGAAAAUAUGCUAAUGAAUAAUGGGGAUUGCCUCCUCCAGGGGCUAGGGGGCCUGCUUAUAUAGCCCCUCCAAAUGAACGUGGGCCGUCGGAUCAAACCGACCUUAAUCGCACGGUUUUCCUUGAUCCCUUAGGUCGGUGGAGCAUAAUCCGCGAGGUGGAGCCUGAUUGGCUGAGGCACCUGGGCGGGCGCCCAAGGGGGGUGGGCGGGCGCCCUGCCCCCGGGCUCGCUCGGCCUCCCGUUCGUUCCCGUGGCUUCUGGAGUCUUCUAGAUGAUAGAAAAUUGUGCGGCACGUUAAUAUCUCUAUGUAAACCCGACGUGUGGGCCUUUUCUCCAUAUUUCCUAAUAACCCCCUGUAGAAAUAAACAAACACCAAAACUUGUGGAAUUCUGUCAUAUAAAACCCUAAGUCUGGGUGUUGGUUGCCUUUGGAUCCUUUACUUUAUUUAUUUGAUGAUUAAAUUUGUUACUCAAGGACCGUCAACAAUCGCAAGUAAGAAUGGUUAGGAAGGCCAAUCCAGCAUUCCUAAUUAUUCUUACCAGACUGCACUGCUAAGGCCGACGCCCUCGAGUUGCCUUGGGUUAUCUCUCUGAUGUAGCGAUAGUUAUGGUAUGCCAACACCCGACAUUUCUGGUGCCAUUGCUAAGGAUGGAUCUAUGGUCUAUUUUUAGUAGUGACGCUAAGAAAUGCCAACAGUGGAGCUAUCGGCUCCUCCACCGUUGCCCGUCCCACACGAGGCAAUGAUCGUGCAGCGGCGGUGGGGCGGGUGUGAUGCUGGCCACGCCUUCUUUUGGGCGGGGAAGCGUGGUGGCGAGGCCAUCUCGGGGCCUUUGUUCGUGUGGGCAUGACACGAGCCCCUCCAGGUCCUUUGAUUGAGAGAAGGAUCAUGUCAUAGCCGAAGCCGAUGGACAUGAACUCAAGGAUCCCAAACCAAAUCACCGUGGAGCGUGGGAUCGGUGAGACGUGAGCGGCCAUCUCGAAAGAGAUGGGAAAUCGGUGAUAAUACGCAGGACCCCUACCUGGCGCGCCAACUGUCGGUGUUUUGACUCCGGGGAGGGGGGUGACACCAACGAGUGAAUUUGUGUUCGUGCUCCCUUUUGCGGAUGGUGAUACAAGAAUGACACAAAGAUUUAUCCUGGUUCAGACAAGAGAAGGCCCUACAUCCAACGGGGGGGAGGCUUUGUAUUAUCUCGCACCUGAGUGCUUGUACAGGGGUGAAUACAAGUAGAUGUGGCCAAGAGUUCUAAGUCCUAGCAGAUGGUGGUGUGUGUGAAUCGUAUUCUACGAGUUGUGUUCUAUGGGUGUGCUGGUUGUCUAUGUCGUCCUUAAUGUCCCCUUUUAUAGUUCCAAGGGGAGACCUAGGUUACAGGGUGUAGACAUUAGAAUAAGCCUAGAUAGGGGAAUGGUGUGCUGACCUACUCGAGGCCUCCAUAUCGGUGUGGCCUCGAGCCGUCUUGUUACAAGGUACUUUGGUGAUGAUGGCGCGUGCGCUCCCGAAUUCAGCCCAUGUACAUCGUCUUGUAUUGGCUCAGGCGCGGGCACGCCGGUACGUCGUGGCAGGAGUCAUGUCUAGGGUGGUUGAAGCGCCGACUUCCAUCGCGUGAUCCUUUCUAGGGAAGGAACGUGUCUACUCGAGGGUCGGACGGCUCGGGCGGCCUUCUUUCGUGGGAGUGCUCACUUUGUGCGUGUCGAGAGGUGCCGUGAUGAGACAUUAUGCCUGCAGCACUGUGCCAAGUCAUACCUUUAUCCAUCCUGGGGGAUAAAGCUGGAAAAAGUGAAGAUUUGGGGGGUGCUUGUUCCCCUAUCGUGCUUCACGUGACUGUCAGGUUAGGUGGGAGCAUGGCAGUCGCAUUAAAUGCCAUAGCUUCCGUACACGCGACCGACGGCGGAGGACGCUUUUGCGCUCGAGGCCUGUUGACACUUCUUAACGCAACCACCGGAUAUCGGCGACGGCGCCAGAAGUGCCCUGGUAGGGUAACUCUAUUUACUAUUGGAUAAUUCCACAAGCGCACAGAAUGUACCGCUGUAGCACUUCACCAAGGAGUAUUCCAAGGUAUCGUAAUUUAUAUUUUCCCAAGGGAAAGCGGCUAAGUGUGUUUAACAAAAAGGGGAAUGAGAUUCCUUGAGUUAUCUAGUAUCAACUAGUGAAUAAGGGUGGUAAAUAACGAAUAGGAAGGGUAGUGGUGAAUCCAAGGUCCUAUGCUAAAGGUAAAUGGUAGAGUUAGCUAGGUGGGAGGACAACGAGUGAGUAAAGGACUCCUAUGUAUCUAACUUGACUUCUGUGACUUACUUUAAUAGAUAAUUGUCUUAACUACGCUAGAGCCUUACUAACUGUGUGCGAGGGAUAGCCGAGCUGGUAAGACGCUUAGAAGGUUUUUCACCUAACCCCUUACCGAAAGCGACUAUUGGGCUUAUGGACGCCUUACCUUUUAAGAACUAGCCUGUACGUGAGGAGAACCUAAUGCCGCCCACGAUCUGUCACCUACUAGGGAGUGCGCUCCUACUUUCCGUUCAAGCCAGCGGUAAUCAAAGGUAAUCUUAAGUAUGAGCACCACGCUCACACUUAAUCCUACAACGCUAACUAGUUGCAGCUAGCUAGAGCUCCUAUACAAGAUAGGACGAUGAUGCACACACAGGAGUGGUUACAGGUCACUAACUUCACUAAGACAACUAUAUUACUAAAGUAAAUGCACAACAAGACUAAAAGACUUGCACUAAGUAAGAAUUCAGUAAAGUAAAGUAAGAAUAAUAUAUUAAUAAAAGGAAAGUCUUACAAAAGUAGAAAGGUACAAGAGCUAUACCAGACUCUCCAGAAGACGACUCCGGAGACCCCGAGCUUCGCUCGACUCGACUCUAACUCCCACUCUAGACUAACUACUACUCUACUUGUAUGCUUGGAACUUGUAAUGCACUUGGCCUUGGAAUUGCACACUUGAAAUGAAGGAUGGAGGCUGCCUUUUAUAGAGGGAGAUGGAGUAGGGGUUACUCCAUCGCCACGUCAUCGAUCCGCGUGACAUCUUCUCUCCACCCUUGGAUCAAACCGACCUCACAACCGCCAUUUGAUCAACGGCAGGGGCAAAUCAACAUGUGGGACAUGUGGGGAAGGUCGGUGGGAGGCCACCGACCCUGGAACCGCCUUUGAUGUGGGGUCGGGUGACCCCACUUCUGGGCCUCUGGGCCCACCAGCAGUGUCCACAGGGGUCCCUUAUGUCGGUGGACUAGGUGGCACACCUGGGUCCCACCAAAGAGGGGUCGGGCGACCCCCUCCCUGUGGGCCCAGGGUGUCACCUGUUGUCCCCUCGAUCUCCUCUUGAUGAUUCUGAUGUUGGCUUUGUCAAAUAAUGUCUUGAAUUUGUUGUUCCUGCAUAAACAAGCUAAGAGUACAAGUGGAACUAGUUAUGGAUAAAAUAUGUUCAUGUCAUGUCGUUUCCCCUUGCAACCGAGGCAUGUUGACGGUGUUUUGUAUGUGGAUUUCUAUGGUAUAUCCAACGUCAACAAGAUCCCCCAAGCUUAACCUUUGCUCGUCCCGAGCAAACAAUCAAACUUAGCCUCGGUGGAUCAGGUAUUGUUACUAUGUUCACAUUUCAAGAGUACCAUGUGUACAACAAAGUUCUUCUCUUUGCAUGAAAAAUUUAGCUAUGUAAACUUACCCCUAUUACCUUAGUCCCUUAUGGGGCUUAUGGCUUUUCCUUUGUCUUAGGUGGUUGAGAGACAGAACAGUUUGACUUGAGCACUAACUUUCUCAUUCUUAGCAAGUUUCAUAUCAGAGGUUUUGUGAUAUUUUCAAAAGAAAGCUUAAAUGUUCCUCUUAUGGUUCUCUCAUGUCACUCAAAUGGUGUAUGAUUCCUCACCAAGGCAUAUGGUAAGAGUUGCCUUCUCUAUUUCAUCCUAUUUCUAAAAGGCUUAUGUGGAGUUCAAGGUAGGGAUGAAAGGAGAUAGCAUACUUACUUUGCAUAUAUUGCGAAGUCAAAGCUCGGAUCCUUGAAGAGAAGUGUCAUACUCCCAGAUCAAGAUGUGCAAGUGUGAUAUAUGGUGGACUAGGUUGCUCCUUUAUUUGAUAGACUCUCUAUGUAUUGAGACAUGGCUAGCUUUUUUUUUUAUAUAUAUAUAUGAGCUUUCAUGUGCUCAAUUUUCUUUUUCUGUGGACUUGCAUAUGUCCAUCUUUUUAUUUCAUUUUGCCUAGCCUUUUGAUGUCUCAUUUACCAAAUAAUGCUUAGAGAGAUGUUCUAACAUUUAGAGUAUGGAGCAACCUAUUUAGUGGAUGCGAAAUACAUGUGGUUGCGUACUUCCAGUGUAGAAGCAGCAUAUAUAUAUGUGGUGUGUACGUGAUCUUGAUCUUAGGAGCAUGAAAAGUCUCUUAACAAGGGUCAACAAGACUUGACGACACUCAACACAAAGCAAAUAGCUUAUGUGGAAAGAUUGCAAUUGUGUAAAGUAGAUAUGGCUGUGGUAGGAAUUCAUCACCAUUGAGGAACAAUUAAGGUUUUGAUCAUUUUAAGAAUAAAUCUCUGAUAAUCAUGCAUGCUUAGAAAAAUAUUAUAGUAGCUCUUCUCUUACUAUCUCAUGUCCCACAACAACUUAGACUUAGUUCUAGCACUUGCAACCCACAAAGUUUUUAGGUUCAUGGCCGUUUAAGUGAGCUAAGUGAUCCAUACUUAGAGAAAUACUAAGUUGUAUACUAGGUACUAGAGAAACACUAACAAGCAACUAGUCAUAAUUUCCAUGAGGGAUAUAAACAUACAUGAAGCAUAUAUGCUAAAGGGAAAUGCUAAUAAAUAUUUAUUUAUUUAUUUUUUUAAGUAAGAAUGAUAAAAUGCAUGAAAAUAAAUAGGAUAGAAUACUUACCUUAGUGGGGGAGAGGAUCUCCCCCAAGCUAGAUCUUCGCUCACUGUGGUGGCGGGAAAUUCUGGUACCAUCCAGCCCAGCGUUGUGCGUCUUCCUCUCGCACACGUCGGAUAUGUUGGCCGUUUUGUAACGCCAGUUGCAAUGUUGCUUCUUGCCCAAUCUGCAAUUCGCCCAUGUCAUUAAUGAGACUGUCCAUACCUGUGGGCUGGUGACGCCUAGCCCUGUCCCUUGGGCGUGGAGUGCGUUGUGGAGGUAGACCCAUGGAGUCUGAAGCAUCCACUGACAUCGCUUCAUCGCCCUCUUCAACGUCAUGGUGCGAGGAUCCUCCUUGCUCCAUCUGGGCGGCUUGCAUCAUCCUUCUUGUCACCCUGCGUGUCCCCGCAACAUCUGGACUUGCCACUCGGGCUAGUCUAAUGGUAAGUGUGCGGACCCCAUACAACCGGCGCCUCGCACAUGGGAGAGGAAUUUUGGUUGUAUAGCCCGGAUAAAUCAUUUUAAGUUCACCAUUUGGAUCUCUUAUGAGCAUGUUAGCAUUGAUAAAGAAGUUCUCAUCUACCACUCCUCUAACAUAGCCAAUGUCUUCAAAAUAAUGUGAUUCAAGUAAUCCAAAAGUAUCGGCUAUUCGAGUAAUAAAGGAUGUGAAAUAGAUGGGCUUCCCAUACUCAAUAGAGUUAAGCCAAUAGUUCACUAGCAGUUUCACAGGGGAGACCUUGAUUUUACUAACCAUGGCAUAGAGAAUUUUAAGUUCAUCAUCAAUUAAAGUAUCAGUUCCCAUGCCAGGAUACAGAGUGCACAUGAUCCAGAAGUGAAGAAAGCGCAAGGUUGGCUUAUGGAUUUCAAUGGGAGUAGGAUUUGAACAAUCAUUAGAGCCAGAAAUUGCUUUCCAGAAUCUAAAUUUAUCGAACAUUCUAGUGGCAUGAUCUAGAUCAAGUUCACAUUCAUGUUCACACCCUAAAGCAGUGUUUAGCAAACUCCAAUUUAAUUGAUGUUCUUGCUCACACAUGCGAAAAGAUAUUCCAUUAUUUGUGAGUUUUAGGGUGCAUAGAAAUUCCUUAGCAAGCAAUUCUUUUCCAAAUUCAGGCACUUGCCAAAAACUACUCCAACCAAUUGCUCUAAACACCUUAUCGAAUUCAACAUCCAUACCUGUGCGGGCCAAAAGGUCCGGAUCGAUGAUGCUACUGUGUAGGAAGAGAUCCUCUCGGAUGAUGUAGUACCUUUGCAACUCUUCUUGGCUUAACAUGAGGCCGCUCUCGGGCUCUCUCAUCCUUGAUGGAGGCUCGUAGGGUACCAUCCCAUGGUAACCUUCUUCUUCCUCCCUUCCAUGAGCAUGGUGAGAGCCUUGAGAAGAGCUCUCACCCUUUGCUUUCUUGAACUUGCCGAAGAUAUGCUUCUUCAUCCUCCUACACAAGUGAGGCAAACCAAGCUCCUACUACUACUACUAUGCAAGGGGAAUCUUUUUGGGUUUUUGUUUUGAUGACUAUUUCUCAAUUAAACUUGAGAAAUGGCUUGUAACAAAGAGAGAAGAGAAAGGAUUGUGAGCUCUAAAUGGUUCUGGUGGUUUUGGGUGUGGAGUUGAGCUCACAAUGCUGUGGUAUUUAUAGGGGGAGAAGGGCAAGUAGUGGACCCACAAUAUAGGGGUCGGCCGACCCCCCCUAGAAGCACUUUGAAUUUGAGUUUAGCUUUAUACAGGGAACCAUUCUGCAUGCUUUCAAGAUUUUGCAGAGAUGGUCCAAAAUAGGGGUCGGCCGACCCCCAUCCUAGCCCCUCCUCCACUUUAAACAUUGUGUCAUUGAUUGUCCGGAAAAGUAAAGGCUAGGUGUGGACCAAAAGUUUUCAAAUUGUUUCUGAGAUUCCCUGUUUUAGUGCUUUGUGAAAGGUAAAAGAUGAAUGGCAAAAGUGGAGACAUGUCUAAAGUGAUUCCUAUGGACCAUGGGAGCACUCAAGCAUGCCUAGGUGACCACUUUGCAGAAUUUAAGCUAGUGGAGUGGUCCCAAAAGAAUCAAAGAUGAAAGGAGCAUCUUAUGACUAAAGUAAAGGAUCAAGGGACCACUCUUUUUCAAACUUUAGCUAGUGUUACAAGCAUAGGACUCCAUUGUGAUUCAAAUGGUGGCCAGCAGGAAGCAAGUGGGGCCAAUAUGGGGGUCGGCCGACCCCCACAUUGGAGCUCCCAGAGCAUCCAAGUGCUGGGUUGGAACCUCUAUGACUAGCAAGGUUGAAAUGUGGUGAAGUGGGCCCUAAGGUGGGGUCGGGCGACCCCCCUUUGGGAGCUCCAGCAGCUCAAAUUUUUAUGACAAGUUAUUCUCAAGAUUUUAUUUAUUAUGGCUAAACAUUUUGUCGAAAUAAGAUAUGCAAAAUUCAAAGUAAGAAUGCAAUUGAAAAGUGAAUAGUAGAAAUUGAAAUGCAGAAAAUAAAUAUGGGAUAACUACUGAUUUACCUUAUCAGCAAGGGCUCCAUGUUUUAGGUCCGUAGAGCAGGACCUCUCCAUCUUGUUCAUUCUUCGGGUGCAUCAGAUGGUCCCGGAGACGUGGACCUUGAUUGCACCUCUUUCUCCCGCCAUACUUGCUUGGUAUUGAUUUUUGGUUCAGCGGGUUCCUCUUCUUUCUUUUCGGCCCUUUUGGCCGACUUACCUCUCUUGUCCCUUUGGCGUCGGAUGUGGCGAGGCUUAGUCGGAGGUUCUUUGUCCUUCACCUGCAUGUUAGCUUUAUAACCAUUGAAUGGACAUUUUACCUUCCAUCCUGGGAAUUGGAGGUGAAUCUGGCCGGACCCCACAUAGAUGACUGCAUUGACCGUGUUGAGGAAUGGUCUUCCCAAGAUGAUCGAGACAUCAUUAUUGGAUCCCAUAUCCAAAAUGAUGAAGUCGGCAGGGACGUAGUCGUCUUGGACCUUUACCAGUAUGUCCCUUGCCAACCCCUCAGGGAACCUGAUCGUCUGAUCUGCCAUCUGCAAACGAACAAAUGUGGGGUGCAAAGGCCCCCCUAGCAAAUUAUCAUAAGUUACCUUGGCCAUGAUGUUGACACCCGAUCCAAGGUCGCAGAAGGCGUUGUGGAAGAUUUGCGGUCCGAUCUCACAGGUGAUGGUCGGCAGGCCUGGGUCGUCUUUCUUGGUGAUGAAGGGCGAAUCCAAAAGAUAGCUCCAGUUGGAUUGUACCGGAGGCUUACCGAACCUCGUAGUAACUAGUUUAACUCCUUCAAUUGGGUCCUCAGGUUUCCCUGGGAUCUUACCUUGCUCGAAGGAUGGGACAGCUGCUGCUAAUUGAGCUAAUUGUGUUUCUAGCAUUUUGUUAAAGCUCAACUGAUUUUUCAUAGCAGAGUUAAAGCUAUCCAACUUUUCACUUAAGUUUUCAAGGAUCUUAUCAUUAGCCAUCAUUUUCUUGUUAAUGCUAUCAUUGAUUUUAGAUUGGCCUAAGACAAGAUCUCUAAGAGAAGGUUGGUUACCAAAAGAAUUAUUGAAAUUUUGAUUGUAACCAUUACCUUGAUUACCUUGGUAGAAGGGGCGCGAGUUCCAUUGCUGUUGUUGGGGCCGGUACCCAUUGUUGUUGUUGUUGAUGAAGCUCACUUCCUCCUUUGUUUCGGGACAAUUGUUUCCCGAAUGAUCAUCUCCUCCGCACACUUCGCACCAUGAAUCAGAUUCAAUGGCCCGUGCAGUGGCGUAAGGUUGAAUGGUCUCUUGCUUGGAACUUUCUUCCAUCUUCUUCAUUAAGAGGUCCAUCUUAGCAGAGAGCAUGUCCACCUCAUUCAAGGCAUGGACACCUCUUCUCUUGGGUUGGAGGCGUUCCUCAUUCCAUCCUUGGUUUAUAACCAUCUUUUCAAUGAGGUCCUUGGCAUCCUUGACAUUGUGUUGCAAGAAUGCUCCUCCAGCGGCAGCAUCAAGGUGACUACGGGCCAAACCGGUCAGGCCAUGGUAGAAACCUUGGAUUAGGAGCCACUCCUCUAUCCCAUGAUGAGGACAGGAGCGAAUGUACUCCUGCAGACGUUCCCAUGCUUCGGGAAUCGUCUCAUCCGCUUGCUGUUGGAAGCUGGAAAUCUUUCCACGAAGGGCGCUGGUCUUGCCCAUCGGAAAGAACUUCUUGAGAAAUGCAUUUGCGCACCUCUCCCACGUGGUCACUUCACCCUUGUUGGCGUAGAACCAUUGCUUCGCCUUCCCCAAUAACGAGAAUGGGAAGAGGCGAAGACGGAUGGCGUCUGCGGCGACAUUCUUGAUGGUGAAGGUGCCGCACACCUCCAAGAAGUGUUGGAGAUGGGCAUUGGCAUCCUCGUGUGGCUUUCCACAGAAGGGAUUGGCUUGCACCAUAUUGAUAAGCGCAGGCUUCAACUCAAAAGUCGCAUCCCCCAAGUUAAGCUGCGGACCCGUGGCGACAUUGUCAGCCGACGGCGCAGAGUACUCAGAGAUGGUCUUCUGGGCCAUAGCUUCUUUGAUAACCGGUGCAGAUACUCCUUCCUCUAACGGAUUCAGGUUCGAGAUGAACCUUUGAGGUGGAACUUGACGACGUCUAGUUCUCCUCAACAGUUGCUCAGGAUCUUCAACGAAGUUUGACGGCAAUUGGAAACCGCUCAUACACUGUCAGGCUUCACAAUAAAGGAAGACAAGACAAGUGAUGGGUUAUCCCUAUCACUACUUGAUAACUAGCAAACUCUCGAUUCUCUUUUUGUUAAAACUCUUAGACAGACGCUCUCCCCGGCAACGGCGCUAGAAAUGCUUGUUGACACUUCUUAACGCAACCACCGGAUAUCGGCGACGGCGCCAGAAGUGCCCUGGUAGGGUAACUCUAUUUACUAUUGGAUAAUUCCGCAAGCGCACAGAAUGUACCGCUGUAGCACUUCACCAAGGAGUAUUCCAAGGUAUCGUAAUUUAUAUUUUCCCAAGGGAAAGCGGCUAAGUGUGUUUAACAAAAAGGGGAAUGAGAUUCCUUGAGUUAUCUAGUAUCAACUAGUGAAUAAGGGUGGUAAAUAAUGAAUAGGAAGGGUAGUGGUGAAUCCAAGGUCCUAUGCUAAAGGUAAAUGGUAGAGUUAGCUAGGUGGGAGGACAACGAGUGAGUAAAGGACUCCUAUGUAUCUAACUUGACUUCUGUGACUUACUUUAAUAGAUAAUUGUCUUAACUACGCUAGAGCCUUACUAACUGUGUGCGAGGGAUAGCCGAGCUGGUAAGACGCUUAGAAGGUUUUUCACCUAACCCAUUAUCGAAAGCGACUAUUGGGCUUAUGGACGCCUUACCUUUUAAGAACUAGCCUGUACGUGAGGAGAACCUAAUGCCGCCCACGAUCUGUCACCUACUAGGGAGUGCGCUCCUACUUUCCGUUCAAGCCAGCGGUAAUCAAAGGUAAUCUUAAGUAUGAGCACCACGCUCACACUUAAUCCUACAACGCUAACUAGUUGCAGCUAGCUAGAGCUCCUAUACAAGAUAGGACGAUGAUGCACACACAGGAGUGGUUACAGGUCACUAACUUCACUAAGACAACUAUAUUACUAAAGUAAAUGCACAACAAGACUAAAAGACUUGCACUAAGUAAGAACUCAGUAAAGUAAAGUAAGAAUAAUAUAUUAAUAAAAGGAAAGUCUUACAAAAGUAGAAAGGUACAAGAGCUAUACCAGACUCUCCAGAAGACGACUCCGGAGACCCCGAGCUUCGCUCGACUCGACUCUAACUCCCACUCUAGACUAACUACUACUCUACUUGUAUGCUUGGAACUUGUAAUGCACUCGGCCUUGGAAUUGCACACUUGAAAUGAAGGAUGGAGGCUGCCUUUUAUAGAGGGAGAUGGAGUAGGGGUUACUCCAUCGCCACGUCAUCGAUCCGCGUGACAUCUUCUCUCCACCCUUGGAUCAAACCGACCUCACAACCGCCAUUUGAUCAACGGCAGGGGCAAAUCAACAUGUGGGACAUGUGGGGAAGGUCGGUGGGAGGCCACCGACCCUGGAACCGCCUUUGAUGUGGGGUCGGGCGACCCCACUUCUGGGCCUCUGGGCCCACCAGCAGUGUCCACAGGGGUCCCUUAUGUCGGUGGACUAGGUGGCACACCUGGGUCCCACCAAAGAGGGGUCGGGCGACCCCCUCCCUGUGGGCCCAGGGUGUCACCUGUUGUCCCCUCGAUCUCCUCUUGAUGAUUCUGAUGUUGGCUUUGUCAAAUAAUGUCUUGAAUUUGUUGUUCCUGCAUAAACAAGCUAAGAGUACAAGUGGAACUAGUUAUGGAUAAAAUAUGUUCAUGUCAUGUCGUUUCCCCUUGCAACCGAGGCAUGUUGACGGUGUUUUGUAUGUGGAUUUCUAUGGUAUAUCCACCGUCAACAAGGCCCAUCGAUUCACUCGAUGCUAUUUCCGUACUCGAUGAUUGCUGGCUAUCGAGCCCCUAUCAAUUCGAUGGACCGUGUUUCCGUGUUCGAGGCCACGAUCAACACCGUGCCCUGGUGAUCACGUAUUUAUGUUGGAGCCUCAAUUUGUUUGAGAAUCCUGUCAUUGUGAGUGUUGGCUGGGAUACCCCCUAUUGACAUCCUCGACACUCAUCCUCGACCUCUCACCACUCUCAGAGUAGGUGCCAUGAGAGGGUGGAGGAGGAACAACGGCACACACUUGUUGCCUUUAUCCCCGCUGAUAGGAUACUGGAGCCCCACGACAACCUCUUGCUCACUCAUGAAGAGAUAGGGAAGCUCUACACCCUUCGAACUUGUAACACCCUAGGUGUUAAGCAUGCAUUUAGUUUCAUAAGCUCACUCAUGAGUAUCCUCAUCAAGCAUAGCAUGAGCGUAGCAUCACCUAAGCAUGGUAGCAUGAAAUUGUGAUUUUAUGUGAUUGAUUUAAAUGAAUUUGUUGAUGCAAAAGUAGAUCUGCAAACACAAAGGGCUAAUAUCCGAUUCAACGUUAAGGCGUGCGAGCCGAUUUGACCUUACAAUCGACAAAGGUGAUAACUCGAAUACUUUGGUCCCGACAACAGCGAUGCGCCCAGAUCUAACGGCCAAGAGGUAUUCACGCGGAACUCGAGAACUCGCCGAGGUUGACUCAAAGAAUUCCAAAGAACUCGUAGUAAAAGGAAAAUAUGCAAAUUGACGAAGUCGUCGAAAAAGUAGAUGCCGGAUUAGAUGUAAAAACUUGUGUUUGAUUGAUUGUGUAUAUUACGUUGCCGUAGGGUCCACAUUUAUACCCUGUCCAAAAGAUUUACAAGCAGACAAGACUAGGAUUCAAAUUCUAAAUUGAAUGGAAUCUGUAUGCAAAACAAACUCUAAAAAGUAUGGAAAACAUUAAUCUAUCCACCACAACCGAUCGGCAUACCAUCACCAUCCGAUAGACACUCCCUACGCCUCCUUUUGUGUUCAUCGGCUAAUCACCUUUCGAAGCCAUCGGCACCCAUCAACAUCAGUCAUCGGCACAGAUUUAUCACCACUAUUGGACUUGACCACAUCCUGUAUUUUAUGAUCGGCAUCAACUCUCAUCGGCAACUCUUCGAUCAACGAGUCACCACUUUAUUCGCCUGUCGAUCCACGCCUUAUUAACUCCCAGAUAUGCGCCCAAAUAUACGUGUCCAAAAACGGUGUCAACACAUGCCGCCCAAUUUCAGAAUAUAAAAUCAUUAAUGCUCCGAAAUUUUCUCCAACAAUGUUGCCUUUCUGUAGUUACUCCUUCCUAUCAGUAAUUAAUUACCAAAUCCAAACAACCUCAGCCCGGUCUUCCAGCACGUACCUUGAAUCCCUCAACUUCUCGAACCGAAUCCCCCUAGUAUACGUUCAUCAGCAAUAUUUCCGUUAGAUAAGACUGCCGAUGAGCCGACCAGGAGAUCUUGCACAGUAAGAUAUCUCCAAAAUCAUGACAGCUUGCUGUCAAAUCACCUGCGCAAUCCCUUGAUUACCGUGCGAACAGUUACCAUAUCCACCUGAACACCCUCAAAUUUCACGGAUACGGCCAAGAGACAAGUCAAAAAUACCCCUACCUUCUUUGUCCUAUAAAUACUUCCUUCUCCGGUACUCUUCCUCCAUCUUGUCAUUCUCCAUCCUCAAUCCCACCCUUCUGGCGGCGGCACUGUUCGAGAACUCAAGAACUCCGGCAAGGAUCUCCUCCAACAAUCUUCCAAGUCUUCGAUUCCUUCUCCCUCUCGGGAAGAAAUGGCCAUAAACUUUGUCGUUCCUGAGGUCAAUUCAGCAUCUCCUUUCACCGUAUUUUUGAUUUUUCGCACGGUUACUUACUUGGCAUUUCCUUUCCCCUUUUUUAUCUUUUCUACAUUCAAACCUUUAGGAGCUGGCCAAUAAAAUUGUUAUUCCCACUGAUCAACCCCACUUCCAAUGCCUUGGUCCACUAGGGAAUCCAGAUCCCACUGAUUUGAUAAACGUAGAAACAAAUAGGAUCCCCUUUAGUGCCGAGAAUUUUUCAUUAGAUCUGUUGGAAAGACACCUUUCGAUCUUGGCCCAGUUCCACUAAGGGGUGGAAAGAUUGGUUCCUGAGAAUCAUCAACUCGAACGAAGUCCAAUUGGUUGAGCGCAGACUAGAUCAGUGCAUUAGGCUAUCCAUUGUCGAUAUGGAGAGGAAUGAAUCGUUGUUGAUAGCUGCUUCAUACUUUUGGUCAGAUACCCUCAAUGCCUUUGUAUUUGGACAUGGCCCUGCUUCCCCUACCCUUGACGAUGUGCUCAUGUUCACCGGUUUAGACAUAUCAACUGUCGAUGAUAAUCAUUUAUAUGAUCACAAGCCUGAGCGCAAAGUAGAAAUCCGUAUCAUCGGCGGUUGGUGAGGAUACAUUCAGAAGUACCGGAAAACAGGACCAGUCGGUCAGAGCGAGCAUGGUGUCUUCCUAAUUAUGUGGCUGGACAAGUUUGUUUUUUGUGGUCGAUCGGUAGAACUAACCUCUGUCUACCUAUCAGCAGCAGAAAGACUGGCCGAUGGCGGCCGAUUUCCUCUCGGCCGAUAUUUGCUUGGCUCUACCUAUCACCUUCUCCAUCAAGUAGCUGAGAAACUCCUAUUAGGCCAAGCCAUCGGCAACUUGGGAGGUCCUUGGUGGUUCAUCAACAUAUGGCUUAGUGUCCAUAUGCACAAACGCUUUGGAUUUGACCUCUUCGCACAGCGCUUUCCAAGAGAUAUAGCCGAAGAUCACGAAUUGGCUGAUGAAGAAUCGGCAACUUGCUCACCCUUGAAUUACGGUGAGGCAGCUAUAGUCUUACCCGGUACUGGUGGUAAUGAAGACCAGGUCAGCCGAUUCUUCCAAACUCUUUAUGAGGGUCUUGCCAAAGAUCAGCGGGCAUGGAUGCCUUACGAAGACCCAAAAACCAGAUUCCCACUGAUCUUUCAUCCUUUCGAUGAUGCCCUUAAUAAAGAUACCGAUUUGAUGAUGGCGAUCAUCACACUAGGGCCAUUCUAGUGAACAUCUUCGGCAGUGGGAAGAACUCCAACCCCACCUAUGAAUUCUACAAUCCAUUGGCACUGGCUCGUCAACUGGCUUUUGGGCAGUUGCCAAUUGGACUCUGUUAUGCCGAUGUGGUGAAGCCAAGGGAAUCUUUAACCAACGGUCUCGGAUGGAUAAGGAUAGCCUAGCUUCAACCAAAUGCCGAUACAUCAGAUAUCGAUCUAUCGGCUUGGAUCCCAGCUCUCUUCAUCACUCAAGCAUACAAACAAUGGUGGGAAGAGUGGAAGGAACAUCUAUUCUCCACAUCGGCUCUGACAUACCGCAGCAUGAUCGACCCCAAGUAUAAUGUUCCCAAAAACACUGUAAGUUCCCAAUUGAUACCUCAAUUCUUUUAUUACUUUUACCCCUAUCGGUAACUCACUUUCUCUUUUUCAAACAGGUCGACAACUUGCCACCAACAGUCAGCAGAAGUGGAAAGCCGAUUGAACUCCUUCCGUCUGGUCCAAUUUCUCUGAUCGACAACAACGCAUCAAGCCUGGCAGCUCUAAUGCACCGGAAUGUGCGUUUUAAGAAGAUAACCACCAGGCGGUCAAGGACAUCUCCAACGGUCACCGCUGCUACCUUGGCACAAGCUUUCAAGGUAAAUCUUUGUUUUUCUCAAUUUAUACCGAUUCCAUUCUAUACUUACACAAUCUUUUCAGGAUACAUCGGCUGCUAUGGGAACCUCAUCGGUAACUUUUAUCUUUUAACAAGAUUUUCAUGAACAUUCUUUCAUAUUUGGACUCAUGAAAUCUUGCUUGUUGUAACAACAAACUGGCAAAUAGGCAAAGACCAGAAGUACCAAAACAAGUGUUGAUGCUCCCCAGUCCAGUCAAGUCAAGAGAAAAGGCCCCAAGAGCACUAAGUCGCAACCAAAAUGCCAGAAGACAGCACCGCCUUCUCCUCCUCGUCCAGUGUCACCGCUUCAUGUGGAAUCGUCCCCCUCUUCACCAGAAAUCCAGAUGCAGCAAGCUCCAUAUCCUCCUCAAUCAGCACCUCAGCCACAAGAAACACCAGCCGAUGUGCUUGAGGAGACUGCCGAUCCAGCAGAUCCAAUCAUAUGAUCAGUAAUCUCUUGAGAAUAGACAAGCACUACACCCCCUCAAGGUAAAGUACCAUCCAUAAAAUUAUCACUGAUGGAUUUAUUUUUUCAAAUGAUAACUAUCCUUAUUAUUUCUCAGUUGACAUUGUUCCAUCGGCAACUCCAGCCGAUCAACCUGUGGUACCAACGGCAUCAACCAGCCAGAGGCGUGAAAUAGCUUUAAUGCAAGUAAGUUAUCUGAUUUCCAUCCUUUAUAUCACUAAUAUAUGAUCAUCAAAUAACUUAUCUUAUUUUCUUUCACGAACAAGACUCCCCAGACAGCUUAUUUCCUUUCGCCAUUGAUAUUUCCGAUGAUGAGGGUGAGGAAGCAAUCUCCUCCCAAGUAAUAGGGAUCUCAUCGGUAGAAAUCAGAGCCAAACUGGAGGACCUACUGGCCUUGUUACACCAAGACACUGCUCAAUUAGUUGACGAUUCCGAUCCAGCCAAAGCCCUGUUCAAGACUCUUCGCGGCCAAAUUCCAGCCGAUGCUGAAGAGAUUCUUUUCCAAGCUGCACAUUGGAGUGCCGUCAGCUCCAAUACCAAAAGGCUACCCAGCGUCUUGCCGAUAGAGCCACUCAUGCCCAACUUUCAGAGGAGGUAAUGCAAGUGAACCGCCUUGCCGAUGAGAAACAUAAGAGCAUCGGCAUCCUGCGUUGCCAUCCAUAAAGCAAAUCGGCAACUGCCAUUGGAUAACCAAAUCCACCUCCUCAUCAUCACUGAAAGGCGCAAGGAAUUCCAUCGGCAACAUAAACACCAUAUUAACGUCUGCCGAUGGACCUUUUCCUUUAGAAUCUGACUGCUGCCGAUCUCCAGUCUUAGCAGAAUUCUCUUCUCUACUCAGCUCUUCUCGUCGUUCCCGCUGCAGCCUUCUUUUCUAUGUCCUAGUUAAUCUCUCUGGACACCAUGGAGGAAGUUGUGGUUGUCUAAUAGAGUGACGACGAUUUUCCCUUGAUUCCACCCAUUGGGAACUCGCGCAUCCGCCGUCUCCUCAAGCUCCUCUUGGUUUCUGGGAAAAUACCCGACAGGCUCACCAAGUCUGUCAUGCACACUGAGUCUACCCCCAGCCGAUCAUGAACUGAGGCCCUUCCUCUAAUUGGCCCAUGAAAACACCGAUCAUCGUUCUGGUACUAUAGAUUUGGUCUAUCAUACCGAUUAUAGCCAUUGCACUUAGUGCAGUCUCUAACAAUUGGUAGCUUGAUGUUUUGCUCCCAACAGUGGAUGAAGAACGAGCAGUUCCAGUGAUCUUUAUGCCGAUUCCACUCCUGUCGGCGUCUUUCUUCUUCCCGACGACGAUCCUCCUGUUGGCACCGAUACCGAUCUUCACGCUGCUGCCAGGUUUCUCGAUGCCUUCUAUGAGUGAUCACAAUGCCAAAUCGGGGAGGCCUCCCUGAGCCGGUUCCUUCCUGGAUCAAGCCCUUGCCUUUAGCAUCAUCGACAGUAAUCUGGUGCUUAGGAUCUACCGAUGUGCUUCUUUCAGCUGCCUCUGAAGUCAAUACUUUGGUCUUUCUCUUAGCAUCCAACAUGUUUGUAGGGAAAGGAUGUUGGUCGAUCUUUAUCGGCUUUUGAGCUUUGGAGCUAUCAAAUUUAAUUCACCCAGACACUACAGCCGAUUACAGCUGUUGCCUGAAAACCUUGCACUCAUUUGUACCGUGAGAUGUUGCAUUAUGCCACUUGUAGUACUUAAUCUUCUUUAAUUCUUCUACCGAUGGAAUCACAUGAUUGGGUGACAACUUAAUUUGCCCUUCCUGAAGCAAAAAUUCAAAUAUCCUAUCGGCUUUGGUGAUAUCAAAUACAAACUUUUCUGGUUCCUUAUGCCCAAAAGGGCAAGACAUCGGCUUCUUAUUCUUUACCCACUCUGCCAAACCGAUGACUGGCUCUUCAUCAGAGUCUGAACUUGUCACCUCAUCGACAAAUGACACCUUUUUGUUCCAUGCCCUCUUAGGUUCAAAAGCCUUGAUAACUUGAUCCGAAUCCUCUGCACUAAAUGGCUCAGACUUUCAAACUCUUGAGAAGCAUACUUGUCUUUAAUGUGUGGCAACAAUCCUUGGAAAGCCAAAUCGGCCAACAGCCGAUCAUCUAGAACCAGACUAUAGAAUUUGUUAUUAACAUCUCGUAACCUCUGCACAAAGCUUUCAACCGAUUCAUCAUUGCGCUGCCUUAGCCUGACUAAAUCGGUAAUCUUCUUUUCAUGUACUCUAGAAAAGAAGUACUUGUGGAACUGCUUUUCUAGAUCAGCCCAAGUAAUCACUGAGUUUGGAGGUAAUGAAAUAAACCAACUAAAGGCCGUUCCAGACAAAGAUGACGAGAAUAAACAAACCCUUAACUCAUCUCUGUUAGCAGCUUCACCACACUGGAUGAUGAACCUGUUAACGUGCUCUAUGGUUGACGUGUCAUCUUGUCCAGAAAACUUAGUGAAAGCUGGCACCUUGUACCGAUUUGGAUGAAGAAUUAAGUCAUAUGCAGGAAGAUAUGGUGUCCGAUAAGAGUAAGUGUUGACUUUGGAUUUUAUCCCAAAUUGGUCUCUCAUCACCUCAGCUAUCUUAUCGGCCCAGUAAGCAUCGGCAUCGUGCCGAUGAGCUGGUUGUGGAUCUAGCAUCUGCUGAUAAACCUCCACGUGUCUCUGCAGUGCACGAUCUCUAGGGAACAUGGGAUUAGCCAGUGCCUAUUGACCGCCAACUUGCUGGCUAAGAUUCAUCAGUUGGUUGAUCAACCCUUGAUUCUGAAAUCCAGGUUGCAUCGGUCCCUGCUGAAAUCCCAUUGCCUGAUGAUUCUGCUGAGGCAUCUGCGGAAAGACGAACUACCCCGUCCAUCCAUUGUUAAGAUUCAUCGGCGUAGACCCUGCUGAUGGCUGAUAAUUGGGCAUCAUAAUUGAAUUGACAUACCCUGGUUGUGUUGUAAACCUUUGCUGCGUCGGCAUUGGAUCUGCCGAUGCGUUAGGCAUUUGGAACGUUGGCAUUUGAGAAUUCCCAGUAAAAGGUCUUGCAGUAGUAGUUGUAGAAAACUGGGGAUUUUGAGUCAUCGGCGAGCCUGAGGGUGCCGAUGCCAUAAGAGCCUUGCCUGUCAUGUUAGCCGCUUGAGACGUCCCAGAGCUAUUUGCCAUAUACUCUGGGGGCAUACCAUAUCCCCACCAAUUAGGAGGAACAGACCCUGACAUUGCCGAUGCCAAUAAAUCUAUAGAAAGUUUGACUUGUCCCUCUGAUGUUGAUGGAUUGGUCGUCAUCGGUGUAGAUUGCGCAUUAGUCAUCCCUAAUGUGCUUGGAGGGGAAGUAACUUCCGUACCCGCAACGACAGUAGUAGCCGAUGGAGCCGUAACCGAUGAUGACCCUGGCUGAUGAUAGGCAGGACCCACAUAAGAUGGUGGCACUUGUCCUUCUUUGAAAGUUCUAGCUACAGCAUUGAAAACUGUAUUGGACAGUACACCAGAUUGACUUAUCAGAGCAUGAUUGACAGCACUAUCAACCAUCUCUUGCAGUUUACCAGGAUUGGCUUCAAAAGUAAAUUGUCGAGGCAUCGACAAUGCUUCCUUCUAGAUUACUUCGCCACUCCUGUUGAUACUGAAGGAUUUCAAGCGUAGCUGCUUGUAGUCCUCCAUGGCUUUCGCCAUAGCUUGCUUCUGUUCAUCUCUGAGAUUGGCUUCUGUCAUGGGGAUGACGUUCUCCAAGUUGAAAUCGGUAUUCGACAUGUUGAUCUUGAUGUUGAAUCUCUGUCCCACCAGGCGUGCCAAAAGAUGUGUCAAUGCAAAAGUAGAUAUGCAAACACAAAGGGCUAAUACCCGAUUCAAAGUUACGGCAUGCCAGCCGAUUUGACCUUACAAUGGACAAAGGUGAUAACUCGAAUACUUUGGUCCCGACAACAGCGAUGCGCCCGGAUGUCACGGCCAACAGGUAUUCACGCGGAACUCGAAGAAUUCCAAAGAACUCGUAGUAAAAGGAAAAUAUGCAAAUUGACGAAGUCGUCGAAAAAGUAGAUGCUAGAAUAGAUGUAAAAACUUGUGUUUGAUUGAUUGUGUAUAUUACAUUGCCGCAGGGUCCACAUUUAUACCCUGUCCAAAAGAGUUACAACCAGACACGACUAGGAUUCGAAUUCUAAAUUGAACGGAAUCCGUAUGCAAAGCAAACUCUAAUAACUAUGGAAAACAUUAAUCUAUCCACCACAACCGAUCGGCAUACCAUCACCAUCCGAUAGACACUCCCUACGCCUCCUUUUGUGUUCAUCGGCAAAUCACCUUUCGAAGCCAUCGGCACCCAUCAACAUCAGUCAUCGGCACAGAUUUAUCACCACUCUUGGACUUGACAACAUCCUGUAUUUUAUCAUCGACAUCAACUCUCAUCGGCAACUCUUCCAUCAACCAGUCACCACUUUAUUCGCCUGCCGAUCCACGCCUUAUUAACUCCCAGAUAUGCGCCCAAAGAUAUGUGUCCAAAAACGGUGUCAACAGAAUUAAAUAUAAUAAAUUUGUAUGCUUGAUUUAAAUUUGCUUGUGAUGACCAAAAUAAGUUGAACUAUGUUUCAAAAGAAUUAAGGACAAUUUUGUGACAUUUUUGGAGCUCUAGAAUUGGAGAAAUGAAUUUAUUGCAAAAAGCCCCAAAAUGAAUUUAUUUAAAAACCUAGAACAAGUUUUGAGUUGCAUUUCAAAUUCUAUUUGGAAUUUGGAGUUGCAGCUUAAAACAAAGUUGUAGAACUAUUUAUUUGUGACAACUUUCAUUUUGGGGGCCAAACCUGAAAAAGAUUUGAAUUCAGUCAAAAUGAGCUUGGAAAAUAUUUGGCAAAAAAGAGAAAUUGAAAAAAAAGAGAAAGGGGGCAGGCGCUGCUGGGCCGACCCGCCUCCCUUUCGGCCCGAUCAGCCGCGCGGCCCGCUCCUCCCCGCCUCUCCGCGCGCGCGGACGCGCCCGCCUUUCUCCACCCGACGCCGGCCACGUGGCGGUUGUACGUCGGCGACGUGGCCGCGGCCGCCCGGCUCCGACCGGCAUAACCAGGUCGGGACGCUGCUCCACUCCCCCAGGCGCCCCAUUCCUUCUGUCACCCCCUCUUUCGCGAGCCAUUCUCCGCGCCAAGGCCACCGCCGUGCUCGCCUUCUCCGCGGUAAGCCCCUGCGCACGCUCUACCGAGGUGAAAGCCAUGUGCGAGCCCGCAUAGCUCGCCGGAGUUCGCUCGACCUCGUCGGAGUGCUCUGCUGCGCCGAAACCCUCCCUCUCUUGCUUGUUUCGCCUGUUUUUGAGCGCGUUGGGUUCGGGAUGUUGUGAGCAAGCUCCGGCGAUGCUCCACGCGUGCUCCACCCCGCCGGAGUGGCCUGGUCAUGGCGAGCAGUGCCGCCGUGCCACCAUGCACGCCAGCAGGGGUGCUCUGGCCGUUCUCCGGCUAAGCCUAGGGCACCAUCGGGUGCGCCUCGUUGCGGGGAGCACACUGGUGCUCACCCCGUGGCCGGGAACCUCACUGCCGGCGAGAUCCGCUCGUGGGAGGUUCCCCUCCUCCCUGUUCCGCUGGCCGGUGAGGUUGGGGCCCCACUGUCAGCCGCACAGGGGUCAGGCUGGGUGCAGAUCUGGGUGUUUCUAGCAUUUUCCAGCGCAGAUUUGAAAAAGGAAUUUCUAAAAUGGUUUUUAGAAAUGUGUUAAUUAGUGUUUAAUUCAUAUCUUGAGAUCUAUGGCUCCAAAAAUGAUGAAAUAAAGUUUGAUGUGUUCUAUAAUUCCAGAUCUACAACUUGGUGUAAUUGCAUGCCAUGUUUGUACAACUUUUCUGUGUAAAUAUAAUUAUUCCAUGUUUUUGCUGAUAUUUAGAAAAUGCAUGGUAAAUAGAAUAUAACUCAAAAAAAUGUAAUUCUUGUUUUGUUAACCUUGCAUGGUUGUUUAGUCUCUGGGAAAAUUAUCUGACACAAUAUUUUCUAUAUAAAUUAAUUUACGGUGAUUUAAAUGCUUGCAUGGCAGUGGUUUAUUAUUUUUAAUAAAUAAUUGGAUUAUGAAAUUAAUCUGAAAAUUUUUGUGGACAUUUCUUAUGUUAGCAAGUAAUUUAUAAAAAUACGAAAUCUGUUGUUUGACACUUCAUCACCAGCAGGGUAUUUACACUUAAUUAUAAUAAGUAGAAUUGUGAUUUUUGUGUAGGCCAGAUUACCUGUCUAAAUAUAAUGAAAAAUUUGUGGUGAACUUUAUAAUUAACCAGUGACCUACUGUAAUUUUUGUAGAAUUUAUUGAGGUUCACAAGUAUAUGCUAUUGUUGUAGGCCUAAUGGUAAUUAAAUAAAUCAAAGCUUGCUAUGCAUAAGAUAAAUAAAAUAAAUAGUGUUUGGUGUAUCUUUGAAGCACCAUCAUAGCUUGCUGAUUGAUAAUAAUAACUAGUAGAAGAGAAUGCAAUAGAUGCUUUAAAUUGGAUACGUGUUCUUGGAUGAUGUUGACUACCUUGUAGAAAUAGUUUCAUGCUUCAUCCGUGCACCAUGUCAUGAUCAUCGUGAUUUGACUUGCACAAGCAUUGCACUUCGAGCAUCACUGCACUCAACUCAUGAGCACACAUGCAUCAUACAGGCUCUUAGGAGAACGAGGUGAGACCCGAGGAGCAGGAAGAGACCCAGGAGGAGGAACUUUCGGGAUGAUCAGAGCCGGAAGGAGAACUGUAGGAGUGCCCAGACCACAGGCCUAGCACUUUCGUGAAAGGCAAGCCCUAGAGCAUUCUAAGUCUCCCUAUUCUCGCUAACUUAAAUUUGAUAUAUCAUGAUUAUUCUACUAUGCUGCAUUUAAGUGAUAGGAUUUGCUUGAUACCGUUGAUGCAUAUGUACUCCUUGAUAUCACCACUUGUUUAUCCAUCUUGUGCUAUGUAGAUAGGCUCAGAGUCUAUGCUUAGCUUGCUUAGUACGGUAAAAGUCAGAUGAUUUCCUGUCACCUGCGAGAUAUAGGUGGAUACCUGAAUGUUAGCUGUCAAUGCUAUGAAGAAAAGUAACCAAGUGUGGGAAAGAAAAGUGAGACCGAGCAGAGUCUUAUGGUGGUGCUGACCGUAGUGCCCCUGCCUGUGUCGAUUAAGGACUGAUCGUUGAUGGUCCUCUUGUCAUGUUGAACGCAUGUCCCACAAUUAAAUGGAAGGAUAAGUCGUUCCAACCACGAAGCCUGAACACUAUCCGGGCCGGGAAUCGGCCCGAUGUACGCGCUGUAUUAGUGAUGGUUGAGGAGAACGACGAGGGCGCGGUGCGCAACCUUGGUAUAUCUUGGAUACCUCGGUCGCUGGAACUGUCCUCAGGUUUGGGCGGUGCCUGUCGAACCUGUGAAUUGGUCCUGGAUAGUAUAACACGGUGACCUAUAGCUCACUUGAUCAGUGAGUGUGGUUUGUGUGGGGAAUAAACUCGCCAGCUGGUUAGAAAUCGAUUCAAAUCGCCAUCACUCUUGGAUAGUGAGCACUUGACUUGAGCUUCGUCCUCAUAGUAAGGACUAUGAAACAAUUGGGUUAUGAUAAGUAAUGAUUUGUGAAUGCUAUGAUAGGUACUAUCAUAUCACAACACUUGUUUGCAAUAGUAUAGGUAUAAAUCUAGAUGAUAGGUAAUAAUACCUAGCCUGAGCUAAUUAAAGAAAGGGGUAUGUUAGGUUAUACUUUUAGAGGGGUAACGCUUUUACGCAAAAAGGUUUCAGCUACCCCACUAUACAACCUUCAUGAUCCUUGAAGAGUCUUUUAUUUUGGAUUGUGACGGGUAAGUCUAGCUAUGUACAUUCUCGUACUCAGCGUUCCAUUCCCAUGUUGUUUUGCAGAUGGUCAGAUGUACUAUGGUUAUUGCAUUCACUGCUUGUACCCAGCAAUGGGUGAUGACUAGACCAAGGGUGAUGGUCACUCUACCUCUUCUUUUGCUCUUCUGGGAAUGAUCAAACUAUGGCACUGUAUGAGACUAAGUGUGUGUGUGUUAUUCUAAAACUAUGAUGCUUCCGCUACUCUUGAACUUGGUUUGUAAUAACUUUAAAUUGAACUCCGAUGUAAUCUUCGAAAGUUGUGGACUGAAUGUAACUGUGGAUGGUGAUCGCUGGACUUAUUAUGAUCUUGGCUGUAUGUAUAGUUUGUGGUUUGAAAUCCCUCGUGAUUUCAUGGACUACCAGGAUUAUAUGGGCUUAAGCUGGAUGGAAUGACUAUGCAAAUGGUCAUUAUUAGGAUUAAUCUCUUAUAAUUUGGGCGGUUCUGUUACAGCUUGCAUCGGAGCAAGGUUCAGCGGAUUACUGUUCAUAAGUGCAUUCAAAAGCAAAAUUUAACUAGUAAAUAAAAGUUAAUUACCUAUUGAUAGUAUUCAAGGUGUUAAAAUGAGUUUUUGGAAAACUGCACAAUGUGCCAUUGGUCAUAUCCUUUAUGCCCAGUUGAGGACUCUAAGGUGGCUAGUUAAGUAUUGACUCGGGGCUUAUGCAUCAUAUUUCUAUUUCGUCGCUCAUACGGCGUGUAAUAGUAUGUGUGCCAUUCACUUGAGUGGUAAUGAAUGCAUCAAUUUCCUCUACGUCUUGGUAAGUGGGAGCUGUGAGAGCAUGAUCGGAUACACUGCCGAUGUAGGGAAGUGUUUUAGGGUGCUGUGUCAUGCACGCAUAUUCAGUGUGCCUGAGAACAGUACCACACGUUGGGAGAUUCCGUCCUAAGAGGCGAUGCCGUCGUUAGGGCGAUGAUGUGGGUAGUGGCACGUCAUAUGCAUAGGUGUGGUACCUAUGUGUGUGGGGUCCAUAGUUUUAAAUUCUUGUUCUGCAUGUUCAUACUGUGGUUGGGCUGAAAUGAGUUUUCUGCAGGUAUGCUAACCACGUUCUUGUAUAGAACGCUAGUUACGUUAUGAGAGAACGUUGUGUGCCACCACAUAUACCAAUUAGUGUUGACUUUUGUUUCUAAGUUUGUGAGAUCGUAAGUUUCGUGCAUGCAUCAUGUUCAUUUCAUAUCAUUACUUAAUUCUUCCCCUAAUUUAAAUUUGUCCCAAUUUCAAUUAAAAUAAAAGAUAAUCCUCAGUCUUACCCAAGGUGCUCUAUUUCCAGCAUAUGGCGCGCACUAGGCUCACCGCUCGCAAGUCCACUGGUGGGCGGGCCCCUCGCCACCAGUUAGCACCUAGGAGCUCACGUCACCAGAGCAAGAUCCUAGGGGAGUUUGGGAUGCCUACCUUGUUGUGGAGGGUGCUCAGUUCGAUGGGGUAUCCUGAAGGAAUGGAACCUCGCUACUAUUGGAACAUAGAGCAGCUUGGUGACGAGAACCUGGUGGGGAUCGAGGCAGUGAUUCCUACCAGUGGGGGUGACCCCGCCUGCGGUGGCUGGGUGUAUGAGUCCCAAGGUACCACGCCUUUCUAGGGUGCCAGUAGGGCUACUUUUGCGGUUCUAUGGGACAUCAUGGAGAGGUUUCCGUUGGAGCUGGCCCACGCCUUCGCUGGGGUGUUUCCCCAUGGUGACCCCUACACUUUGGUGUGGGAUCAGUUCGAGGUGAAUGCCCUAGAGAGAAGUGCGGAUGAGGAUCAGCACAGUAAUAGUACAGCUAUGAGUGCUAUGUUCGCCAUGAUGAAGACCUAUGGGGCUCUAGAGCGCUGUUUGUGAUGCUUGUCAGGGUCUCUUUUGAUAGUUCAGCAUGAGGCGUGAGUUUGACAGUGAGGUUGAGAGGCUGCAGAUAGAGUUGGCUCAUGUGACUUUAGAGAGGGACCAAGCAGUCCAGCAGAACAGUGAGCUGAGUAAGGAUCUGCUCACAGUGAGAGAGCAGAGGGAUAGGGUGACCACAGGUCACAGGAACUGCGAGCGCAUGCUAGUUCAUGUGCUUGGUCAGAGGAAUGAAGCCUAGCACGAGGAGGACACCCUGAGGGCCUGACAGCUGGAGCUUGAGCAGCAGCUAGCUAAUACUGAGGAGUAUAAUGAGAACCUACAUGAGGAGAUCCACUAGCUUCAUAACCAGCCCCAUCCUCACCACCUGCCUAAAGCAGCUGAGUUAGAAUCUGAGGAUGAGAUGGAUGAGGAUCUGGAGAUGGAGGCAGCCGCUAGUGGAGAUGAGGACGAGGAAGGCUUCGGCAUGGACAACGACCAUAGCGAGUAGGUGCUAGGGCUCUAGAGCUAGUACUUCUUCUUUUGCUGUUGUUGUUGCAUGACAUGUGUUGUAAUCUGUUGGAUCUUGGAUAUGUAAGACUUUAUGUGUUGAGUUGUGUUGACGCUGAAAGUCCAGUGUAUGUAUGCUGGCAAUUUUGGAUGUAUGCGAACCCUGUUGGCUAAAUGUUAAGUAAUCAGUUAGUGAUGUUGUGUGUGGAUGAUGAAUUAUUGUGCCUCUAUUUAUUGUGUGAAUUUAUUCUCAUCAGUAAAUUCAGUGUGGCAUGAUUUUGCAUAUGUCUACCGAUUGAUGGCAACUCCUAACGACUGCUUAUCGUUGACGCAUGCAGAUGGUGCAAACCCCAGUGUUGGAGAAGGUUCCUCCGGAGGUGGGGCUCGCCAGAAUGAGGAGAGAGUACCAUCACCGCCACCACCACCACCUCCUCCGUACACUGUGCACGUGUUUUUCAUGCAGUUUCUAGGGAGUCAUCAGAACAUGGAAUAGAUGCAGCAAAACAUGGAAGAAGCCCUACGCAAUAUCACCGACAACACAAACCGUGGGGAUAACCAAGGCGGAUGUGAAGUAAAUCAGUACAGCUCUUUCAAGGGCUUCAUGGACACGAAACCACCGGUCUUUAAGGAGGCCGUGUGUUGACACCAUUUUUGGACACGUAUCUUUUGACACGUAUCUAGGAGUUAAUGAAAUAUAGAUCGGCAGGCGAAAGAGUGGUGAUUAAAGGAGUUGCCGAUGGGGAUUGAUGCCGAUGGCGAAACAUCAGGAUGUGGCCAAGUCCACGGAUGGUGAUUGAUCUAUGCCGAUGACCGAUAUUGGUGGUUGCCGAUGCCAAUGGAAGGUGAUGUGCUGAUGAUAACAUAAGGAAGCGUGGGAAUUGCUGAUAGGAUGGUGAUGGUGUGCCGAUCGCCUGUGGUAGAUAGAUUAACAUUUUCCAUAGCUAUUACAAUUCGUUUUGUAUACGGAUUCUGUUCGAUACAAAAUUAGAGUCCUAGUCGUGUUUGGUUGUAGCUCUUUUGGACAGGGUAUAAAUGUAGACCCCGUAUCAAUGUAAUGACACAAUCAAUCAAACAUAAGUUUUUACAUCUAUUCCAGCAUCUACUUUUCGAUGACUUCGUCAACUUGCAUGUUUUCCUUUUACUUACGAGUUCUUAGGAAUUCAUCGAGUUAAACUCGAUGAGUUCUCAUGUUCCGUAUGAAUACCUCUUGGCCGUGACAUCCGGGCGUAUCGCUGUUGUCGGGACCAAAGUAUUCGAGUUAUCACCUUUGUCGAUUGUAAGGUCAAAUCGGCUGGCACGCCUUAACAUCAAAUCGGGUAUUAGCCCUUUCUGUUUGCAGAUCUACUUUUGCAUCAACACAUCUUUUGGCACGCCUAGUGAGACCCAGAUUCAACAUCGAGAUCAACAUGUCGAAUACUGAUUUCGAUACGGAUAACAUUAUCCCCGUGACGGAAGCCAAUCUCAGAGAUGAGCAGAAGCAAGCUAUGGCAAAAGCUAUGGAGGAGUACAAGCAGCUUUGUUUGAAGUCCUUCAGUGUCAAUAGGAGCAGCGAGGUGAUCCAAAAGGAAGCAUUGCCGAUGCCUCGGCCAAUCACUUUUGAAGCUAAUCCUGGUAAACUACAAGAGAUGGUUGACAAUGCUAUUAAUCGCGCUCUAAUCAAUCAAUCCAGUGUGAUGUCCAAUACAAUUUUCAAUGUUGUGGCUAGAACUUUCAAAGAAGGAAAGAUACCACCAGCUUAUAUGGGCCCGGCCUAUCAUCAGCCAGGAUCAUCAUCGGUGACGGCUCCAUCGGCUACUUUAGCCGUUGUGGGUACAGAGGUUACUUCUCCUCCAAGCACAUUAGGGAUGACUAAUGGGCAAUCUACACCGAUGGGAACUAAUCUAGCAACAUCAGAGGGACAAAUCCAACAUGCUACAGAUCUAUUAGCAUCGACAAUGUCAGGGUCUGUGUUUAAAAAUUUUCAAGUUCCUCCCAAUUGGUGUAGAUAUGGUAUGCCCCCAGACUUUGGUGCAAAUAGUUCUGGGACAUCUCAAGUGGCUGACAUGACAGACAAGGCUCCUAUGACAUCGGCACCCCCAAUGUCGCCGAUGACUCAGAAUCCUCUGCAAGACCUUUUACUACCACUGCAAGACCUUUUACUAGAAAUUCUCAGAUACCGACAUUCAAGAUGCCUAAUGCAUCAGCGGAUCCACUACCGAUGCAUCAAAGAUUUAUGACUCAGCCAGGGUAUGUCGAUUCAAUGAUGAUGCCCAAUUAUCAACCGUCGGCAGGACCUACGUCGAUGAAUGUUAACAAUGGAUGGACAUGGCAGUUUGUCUUUCCACAAAUGCCUCAGCAGAAUCAUCAGGCUAUGGGAUUUCAGUACGGACCAAAGCAGCCUAGGUUUCAGAAUCAAGGAUUGGUCAAUCAGCCGAUGAAUCUUGCUCAGCAAGUUUGUGGCCAACAGGCGGUGGCUAAUGCCAUGUUCCCUAGAGAUCGUGCGCCCUAGAGACACAUGGAAGUUUAUCAGCAAGCGCCAGAUCCACAACCCACUCAUCGGCAGGAUGCCAAUGCCUAUUGGGCCGAUAAGAUUGCUGAGGUGAUGAGAGAUCAGUUUGGGAUAAAAGCCAAAGUCAAUACUUAUUCUUAUCGGACACCGUAUCCUCCUGCAUAUGACUUAAUUAAACUUCCAAAUCAGUACAAGGUACCGAAUUUCACCAAAUUCUCUGGACAGGAUGACACGUCAACCAUGGAACAUGUUAAGAGGUUCAUCAUCUAGUGUGGGGAAGCUGCUUACAGAGAUGAGUUAAGGGUUCAUCUAUUCUCUUCAUCUUUAUCUAGAUCGGCUUUCACUUGGUUUAUUUCAUUACCUCCGAACUCAGUAAUUACUUGGGCUGAUCUAGAGAAGCAGUUCCACAAAUACUUCUUUUCUGGAGUUCAUGAGAAGAUGAUUGUCGAUUUAUUCAGGCUAAGGCAACGCAAUGAUGAAUCGGUUGAAGGAUUUGUGCAAAGGUUGUGGGAUGUCAAGAAUAAGUGCUAUAGUUUGGUUCUGGGUGAUCGGCAGUUAGCCGAUUUGGCUUUCCAAGGAUUGUUACCACAUAUCAAAGACAAAUAUGCUUCCCAAGAGUUUGAAAACCUAAGUUACCUCGUACAAAGGAUUUCUGAUCAGGAUAUCAAGGCUUUUGAGCCUAGGAAAGCUUGGAACAAAAAGGUAUCAUUUGUCGAUGAGGUGACAUGUUCAGAUUCUAAUGAGGAACUAGUCAUCGGUUUGGCAGAAUGGGUGAAGAACAAAAAGCCGAUGUCUUGUCCUUUUGGCCACAAAGAACCAGAAAAGUUUGCUUUUGACAUUGCAAAGGCCGAUAGGAUAUUUGACUUUCUGCUUUAGGACGGGCAAAUUAAAUUAUCACCCAACCAUGUGAUUCCAUCGGCAGAAGAGCUGAAGAAGAUCAAGUAUUGCAAGUGGCAUAAUGCAACAUCUCAUAGUACAAAUGAAUGCAAAGUAUUUAGACAACAGCUACAGUCGGCUAUAGAAUCUGGGAGAAUUAAAUUUGAUAGCUCCGAAGCCCAAAAGCCGAUGAAAAUUGAUCAACAUCCUUUACCCAUGAAUAUGUUGGAUGCCAAAGGAAAGACUAAAGUCUUGACAUCAGAAGCAGCUGAGAGGAGUGCAUCGGUAGAUCCUCAGCACUAGAUUACUGCCGAUGACGCCAAAGGCAAGGGCUUAACCUAGGAAGGCACUAGCUCAGGUAGGCCUCCUCGGUCUGGCAUUGUAAUUACUCAUAGGAGGCAUCGGGAAACCUGGCAGCAGCGCGAAGAUCGGUAUCAUCACCAACUGGAAGAUCGUCGUCGAGAAGAAGAAAGACGCCGACAAUAGUGGAAUCGGCAUAAAGAUCAUUGGAAUUGCCCGUUCUUCAUCCACUGUUGGGAGGAAAACAUCGAAUUGCCGACUGUUAGAGAUUGCCCUGAGUGCAAUGGUUAUAAUCGGCAUGAUAGAUCAAAUCGACGAUAUCAAGAUGAUAAUUGGCGUUUUGGUGGACCGGUUAGAGGAAGAACAUCAGUUCAUGAUCGGCUGGGGUGCAGACUCAGUGUGCAUGAUAGGCUUGGUGAGCGUGUCAGUUAUUUUCGCAGAAACCAAGAGGAACUUGAGGAGAUGGUGGAUGCGCGAAUUCUCGAUGAGUUCGUAUUUUGUAGGGAUGCUAAUGCUUAUCGAGUGGAAUCAAGGGAAAACCGUCGUCAAUCGGUAAGGCAACCACAACUGCCACCGUGGUGUCCAGAAGGGUUGACAAGGACAUAGAAGAGGAGGUUGCCGCGAGAACGAUAGGAAAAACUGAGUAGGGGAGAAAAUUCUGCCAAGUCUGGAGAUCGGCAGCUGUCAGAUCCUAUGGGAAAAGGCCCGUCAGCAGAUGUUAAUAUGGUGUUUAUGUUGCCGAUGGUGUUCCUUGCAUCUUUCAAUGAUGAUGAGGAGAUAGAUUUCCCUGGUCAGAUAGCUCAGUUAGCUCUCGACCCGAUGACAGCUAUCUUUGAAAAGCCCGCCGAUGAUCAGAGGCAGCACCUUAAAGCUUUAUUCGUCAAAGGUAGGGUUGAUGGACAGCCGAUGACCAAGAUACUCGUUGAUGGAGCUGCUAUCAAUAUUAUGCCAUAUGCAGUCUAUCGGAAGCUUGGAAAGGAGAUCAAGAUUUAACCAAGACCGAUAUGAUGUUAAAGGAUUUUGAAGGAAAUGUGUCUCCAGUCAAAGGAGCCAUAUGCGUUGAGUUGACCAUCAGCAGCAAGACUUUGCUGACAACUUUCUUUGUCAUCAGUGGAAAGGGUGCUUAUAAUUUGCUUUUAGGGAGAGAUUGGAUUCAUGCCAAUUGUUGCAUCCCAUUUACAAUGCACUAAUGCUUGGUUCAGUGGGUAGGUGACAAAAUUGAAAUUGUCCCAGGAGAUUCAUCAUAUGUCAUGGCAUGAGCAGAGGUAGAUACUUAUGAAAGGACCAGAUGCAUUUCAAGAGAGGUUUGGGAGAAGGAUUUUCUCAAAGUUGCCGAUUAUGAAAUUCCACCGAUCCAAGCAGUGUUAAUGGAUAUGUUCGCCGAUGAUGGAAAACUAGGCCAGGGGUUUACAUCGGCCGAUGAUUUAGUAGAAGUAGAUAUAGGUAAUGGUGAUAGGCCAAGGCCUACUUUUAUUAGUGCUAAGUUAGAUUCUGAGUGUAAGCAAUAGUUAACUGAUUUGUUAAAGGAAUAUAAAGAUUGCUUUGCUUGGGAUUAUACCGAGAUGCCUGGUUUAGGCCGAUCAAUCAUUGAACAUCGGUUUCCUAUUAAGUAUGGGUUUCGGCCGCAUCAGUAGCCAGCACGCCGAUGCAAUCCUAAUAUUCUUCCUGAUAUUAAGGCCGAAACAACUAAACUUAUUGAAGCCAAAUUUAUUUGGCAGUGUUGGUAUGCCGAAUGGAUUUCCAAUGUUGUCCCUGUUUAUAAAAAGAAUGGGAAACUUUGUGUCUGCAUUGAUUUCAGGAAUCUUAAUAAAGCUACGCCGAUGGAUGGAUAUCCAAUGCCAGUUGCCGAUUUAUUGGUUGAUGCUACAGCUGGACAUCGGAUUAUUAGUUUUAUGGAUGGUAAUGCAGGUUACAAUCACAUAUUCAUGGUUGAAGAAGAUAUUCCCAAGACAGCAUUUAGGUGUCCUGGUCACAUUGGAUUGUUUGAGUGGAUAGUCAUGACCUUUGGCUUGAAGAAUGCUGGUGCCACUUAUCAAAGAGCUAUGAAUUUUAUCUUUCAUGAGAUCAUCGGCAAGAUAGUUGAAAUUGAUAUUGAUGACGUGGUGGUUAAGUCUGGAGGUUUCACGAAGCAUCUGACCGAUCUGCGAAAGGUGUUGGAGUGCACAAGGAAGCAUGGUUUAAAGAUGAAUCCCAAUAAAUGUGCAUUUGCUGUAUCGGCAGGUCAGUUUCUAGGUUUCAUGGUGCGUCAGAGAGGGAUUGAAAUUAGUAGGAGAUCCAUUGAUGCUAUCAGCAAGAUAGUUGCUCCCACCAAUAAAACUGAACUUCAAUCAUUGCUCGGCAAGAUAAAUUUCAUGAGGUGAUUCAUAUCUAACUUGUCUGGUAAGAUUCGUGCUUUUAGUCCUUUUCUUAAGUGUUGGGUAUUUUAAACGCAAACACAAAAAUCCGCAAGUGCACGGAUACCGAUGUAGCUUUCACAAGGGAGUAUUCCACAGUAUCAAUUUUCCACAAAGAAUGUGAGUGUACUAAUUAAGAUCCAAGAUCGCCCAAGGAUAACUAUAUAAUUAUUUUUGGUGGCAAGAGAGGAAGUUUCCUGAGAGUUCUCUAGUUGAUCUAAGAAUCAAGAAUUACUUCAAGAUUAUCUAUUUCGGGACAUCAGAACACUAACCACAAAAAGAGAUGAGAAGGGGGCUAGGAAGCUCUGACUAUGGUCCUACAAACACCGAUCCGAAUGAGGUGGAAUACGUCGACCGUUAAGGCAGUCACUACCCUAGGGCUACCACAACAAUCCGCAGGAUUGGGUGCAAUUCCAGGUAAUUGAAAGACUAAACACCAUGUCUAAUCUAUUAAUUACUACUCUAGCUUUAUAAAGACUAAAGCACUUGAUGCAAGCGGGAAUCCAAUAAAUAACUUGAAUGUAAAUAAAAGUAAUUAAAGAACUCAGGAAUUAUGAAUUGAAGAACUUGGAGAAUGAUGAAGAACGAACUAGUUGCUGCAAAAGAAUAAUGUUCAGGAAGAUCCGACAGAUCCGGCUCCUCCUCCGCUCUCCUCUUCUCUCUCCCUAUUUUCUAGAUUACAACUAGAACUAACUAGAACUCAAACUAGAUGAACUAGAACUAGAACUAGAUGAACUAGAGGGAUCCUCUUUACUAGGAUGAAGAAUUGAAACCCUAGCUUUGAUUCUGUAGAAGAGGUAUGCUCUUCAGGGGCCAGGGGGCCUUGCUUAUAUAGUCUUUUCAAAUGAAUAUGGGCCGUCGGAUCAAACCGACAUUGAUUGAACGGUUAUCCUUGAUCCUUUAGGUCGGUGGAGCGUGAUCCGCGAGACGGGUCUGAAUUUGACACUAUAGGAGCGCGGGCGCCCUGGGCUAGGCCCCAUUUGGCCUCCGCUUCGUUCCCGUGGCUUCUGGAGUCUUCUAGAUGAUAGAAAAUUGCGUGGCACAUUAAUAUCUCUAUGUAAACCCGACGUGUGGGCCUUUCCUCUGUAUUUCCUGAUAACCCCCUGCAGAAAUAGACAAACACCAAAACUCGUGGAAUUCUGUCAGAUAAAACCCUAAUUUUGGAUGUUGGUUGCAUAUAGGUCCUUUUCCAUGAUUAGUUGACGGUUAAAUGUGAGCAUUAAACACCGUCAACAAGCUCCCCCAAGCUUAACCUUUGCUCGUCCCUGAGCAAGGACGGACUAAAGAGUUUCUGAAGUGGUUUCAUGCCUUAAAGGUACACAUGCGGUCAAUCAAGAUCUCAUCUCUGGGUUAGGGUAAACUGUCAAGACUUAAAACUUACUUAUUUUACCUUUCACCAUGGGACUUGUAACCGUCACUUAUGUCUUGAGCAGUUAAAAGAUAGAACGGUCUAGUCAAGCGCCAUGUCUCUUGUUCUUCGAUGAACUAUAGCUCUGGAGUUUUUGCAGAUUUUCAGAUAAAACUCAGAGAUUCCUUGUAUGACUCUCUUUAGUCUCUCUUUUGUGGUAUUUCUGGAUCCUUACCAAGGUAGUAAUGGUGUAUGCCUUCUCUCAAAGUAUGUGGUAUUUUUGGUAUGAGGCAUAGUGGUAUUGCCUUCUUUCUCACCCUACUCUAAUAAGGUUUUUGAUAUCUAGAGCUCAUAGGUGGGAGACAGCUAAUACAUACUUACAAGACAUUUAUUGCAUAGUCAAACCAUGGAUCCAGAGAAACAAGUCAAUAAGUCAAAUGAAGAUGUGCAUGUGUGGCGAAUGAAUGGUGUAUGGUGAUGAUGGUGAUAACAAUGGUGAAAGUCUAAUUCUACUUUUGCUCUUUUGAGGGGAUACAUACCUUUCUUGCUCUUUUGAAACUUUUUUUGAGGAGAAUGAGAUGCUCUAUAUUUACUUUUUCUUUUCUCUCAGGUGGGUACCUUGUACCCCUAAUUCUAGUGUCGGACACUUGUCCAUUUUUACCUCUCGUCUCACUUUUUCUUUUCUUUCGAGGUUCCGGGCACUUGCCCCUUUUUAUUUCCUCGUAUCUUCUUUUUUUUAAAGCACUCACCUCUUUAAAUAAUAUAGCAAGUGGUAGUAACCGAAAUAACUUGAGCAUUUAUUUCACAGGGGAAAAUAGAAAUAGGAGAAUGUUUUUGGCUAUUCUCUCCUAGAUAGGAGUAGAAUAACUUUGGGUGAAUCUGGAUAUGGAAAUGAGUGGAUGUAUGUGGAUGCGUACUUCUGGAGUAGAAGCAGCAUGUAUGAGUGAACGUGCA